This 55127-nucleotide long non-coding RNA is filed under the name Triticum aestivum (bread wheat). RNAcentral's name for it is "long non-coding RNA (TAES_LNC021265)". The stretch from base 30246 to 30360 matches the Rfam family "MIR1120/MIR1122 microRNA precursor family". The record is from RNAcentral. Lineage: Eukaryota; Viridiplantae; Streptophyta; Magnoliopsida; Poales; Poaceae.
AUGGAGCGUUGUCUGUACUCACCCACUAGCUAUACGUUGUUGCUUAUUCCUUAUUCAAGAUGCGAGGGAAUUUGUUGUUUGUUGGAAACUGUGUAGAAUCGUCAUGAGUAGAGAACUCAACUCUGAACGGGAGUUACAGGAUAUGUGCUCAACCAAUGUUUGCAUCAAGGAAGACGAUUUGAUUUAUAUUUUCAGUCGCAUACAAGGAUAAUUUGUUGCAAUUUUAAUUCAAAACUGCGGGGCGUGCUAGAAAGAGAUGGACCAAACAACGACCUUGGAUAUUUGCCAGAACUACAGCCCCAUCUCUUUUUCUUUUUUGGAAAGAGCCCUAUCUUGGUGGUUGUCCUUGCCUAAUUUGUACGUUUACCCACUCUCACCCUUUUGCUUUUAAUUUGGUAUGUUGUUUGUGCAUUCACCCCGGCUUGUAUGAAGUCGAAGCCCAAAGUCCAUGCUUUCUUUGAUCCGGUUGAGUUUGUUGCAUCAACCGAUUGAUAUAUUUACUCAAACGGAAUGAACAACAGGAACCAUACAAUCUGCAUAAAAUUACACAUGUUUGUUCAUCUGAAGAAUAGAAAAAACUACACAUCUGCAAUGUUGCGGACCAAAAGUUUGUGCCGCAGCAAAGCUUGCUAUUCCUUCGUAGUCCAAAUUGAGGUAUCUCAACUCUGCGGCUCGUAAGAUUUCUUUCUCGUAUAGCAGCAAAAUGCCAUCCACAUCUCUCGCCUACUCUGCUUAUUAUCAUGUAACAGCAGCAUGCAGAUGACACAUGCAGAAAAAAUACAUUCAAAUUUAAACAUGUCAUUUUUUUCUGAAAAAAUAUCACGAGUGUUCAAAAGACACAUGUCUGCAACUUGUAAAAAAUUCAAACCGAAAUUUGAGAUACACAUGGAGAAACAAAAAAGAAAUAUCCAGAUGUGAAUACUACCAUCUUCACUUUUGUCUUCUUUUGAUACUCUUCAUGACGGAUUUGUCCUUUUUAUUUCAGUGUGUAUUUGAGUUUGGAUCUGAUUUUUUUUAGGAGUUGUAAACACUUGUAUUGUGAACAUCCAUGAAUUUUUUUGAAACAUUUAUAUUUGAAUUUUUUUAAGCUGGGAGCAUGGGAGGAUUUAAUGAACUAUAAAAUAUUUGAUCUUGUCAUUCAAAAAAAAAAAAUCUUUGAUCUUGUCCAAUAAAAAAGUGAGUUUAUAAUAAUCCUGAUACAUGUUGUUCUAAAAAAAAUCAAUUCAGAAUAUGUGAUUUCUAGAAGAAAAAAGAACAUCAGAAUAACUGCAGUGCGUUUACAAUAAUCCUGAUGGUGAACCACACAAUUUCUAUCCAUGUUUAAUUAGAAAAGGCACAAACCAUAAACUGACCCUCGUUCUCUCUCAAAAUAAAAAACAGGCCAAAUCAUUGCACAAUUACCGUUGGGAGCCAUGAAGAAAAUAACAGACAUUUUACUAAAACAUUCAGAUCAAUUUUUCUUUAGAACAUGGAGUACUACUCAGAUCAAUUUAGGUAGGUGCAGAACGCAGAGGACAUGCAAAAUCAAGAGUUUCUCCAAUGCUGCUCUGUUGUGUUCGUGUCUUUGUUGCAGAUAAGGGCAAGGAAAAACCACAGGUCAAGCCAAUGCAAUGGUAAUACAUUCUUGUGAUCCACACACUACCCAGGAGCAAAAAUUAUAAGAGAACGGGUAUAUGCGACCAUGAAUCAAGUGCCAAAUUAUCCAUCUGUAUUCCUCAACUUUCGAGGGUUGUAAAUUCGUACUCCCUAAACUAAAACCACAACAGGUUCUCAAAAAAAAAAAAAACUAAAACCACAACAAGCAUUUCGGAACGGAUGGAGUAGUAAACAACACCACCACACAUUUCAAAACUAGUGGCAACAUUUGCAGAAGCCCCAUCACAAUGCCGCUUGCUGGAGACAAAUCUAUGGACCUACACGCCGGGGUCUGAAAAAGCAGAAGCACCCGGGGUUCGUCCCUUCCGGGAUCAUGCCCCCACCCUUGGUCGUGUCAAGAUCCUCCAGUAGAUGCACCACCUCCUUCAUCUCGGGCCGCUUAUCAGGGUCAGCAUCCCAGCAUCUCUUCAUGAUGUUCGCCAACCGGGUCAGGCAGCAGCGUGGGAUCUUGGGUCGCAGAUUCUAUGCACACGACAUAAAAAGCAAACCUAUAAGCAAAAAAUAUUGUUGCGUAGGCUUGUUUUAACACAUAUUUGCAUGCAUAAUUCUUCUGGGUGUAAUAUUUAGCGAGGGAUCUGACGGAAAACAUACAUUGUGAACAACAGCAAACGAGACCUCUACCGAGCUCAUGUCUGGAUAGUACGGCAUGUCACAGCAGUAGAUCCCCCACAAGCAUAUCCCAAAGCUGUAAACAUCGGACUUCCUGUCGUAUGGCUUGCCCUCAAUAACCUGCACAGAAAAACAACAACAACAGAUUGCUUUUGUUGUGAAGAAACACAAGAAUUGAGCACAGAAAUCGUUGAAAGCGAUUGGUUGGCAGCAAGAUACCUCUGGGGCCAUGUAACCGAGUGCGCCUGUCAUGUCCUCCGGAUUCUUAGCCUGCACACAGGCGAAGCCAAAGUCGGCAAUCUUAACGACCGCCUCCUCUGUGCCAAGAAGCAUGCUCUCAGGUUUGACAUUCCGAUGCACGAUAUUUUUCGAGUGAAGAUAGCUCAGUCUGCAAAAGAAAAUAUAUGAGAGUGCUGGUUAUCCUCGGAUUCGGAUUGGAAGAUAUGUGGGAGCAAAUCUAGCCAGCUUGCUUACCCAUUGGCCAAAUCCAACGCAAACUCAACCACAAUUUUGUAUCCGAUCUUUCUCGCCCUGUGAGCAUAUAGAUAUCGUCUCAGUGAUCCUAAAUAGAGAUAUUCAAAGACAACACAACAGGCUCUCUCUGGCAGAUCUCUGGGUGCACUGCUCUCGCCGCUAUCGGCCGGAAUGCUACGGUCAGUGGUAUCCAUUGAUGCACCGAUGAACUGCAAGGAAGAGAAUACGACACAUUCAAUGUACCACACAAAGAAAAACUCAGUAGACAGCGUUGUAGUGCCUAUUAUCGGUCUUGAGGUAACAUUGUUAUAACGCACCGAAAAUGAACUGACGCUACCCCAAAAAAUAAUGAACAUUAAACAUUGGUAAUACAGUAUGCGGGUGCGCAACGAGCAAAAAAAUAUUCACCCUUGCAACACUUCGGUGUUUGAGCUCCUUCCAGACAGCAACCUCCUUCCUGAAUGCUUCGCUCUGAGUAGAAAUUUCAGCCUCUGUCAUAAAGCCAUCUUCUCCCCACUCCAAUACUUUAGCUUCAUACACGAUGAAGAAAAAAUAAAUGCAUUAUAACACUAUAAUCUUUGGGAGCUAGCUCGGGGCAUUGUAGUGCGCAUUUUGGCAGUUCGGUAAAAUUAUAUUUCAACAGAACUCAAAAGUAUACAACUGAACUUGAGGAUGUUCAUCAGAGAUAUUUUGUCCAUUUGAUAAAAUGCUAUUUAGGGCAUGUAUUUAUGGACCUGUGCACAAGAUUGCAAUGACGGCAUGCCGCGAAUAUCUACAAGAGUUAAACAUAAAUGGCCUAACACGACACUUGGAUCAGCUUAAGGUUCGCUGACUAUUAAGAAACAAAAGCUUAAAAAUAAAAUUCCAAUUUUAAUCUUAUGAAUGCACAUUACUUGCUCAGGACAUCUAAAGACACAUGUGGAGCUUUAGCAGGAACAAACCAAAGAAGAUCAACGUGUCCAAGGUCCGCAAUGAUGAUUUAUCAAUGACGACGAAUUGAGAGGGUCUGAAUUAUAAAUUGUUCAUGCAGAAGAAAUAUGCACAUGCAGCAGAUGAUAACAAUACAGCCAUACUAUGUGCAUGAUGAUAAUAAAGCAUAUAACACAGAAGAUGAUCCAGCCGAUUCGCACUAUUCAAUUCCAAGAUUAAAGCUCCACAUCUACUCAAACAGGUGAGCCUUAUGAUUCUAUCACUCAUAACAUCAAUGGACCACCCAAGGCAGGGAAAUUAGCAUGGUCCACUGACGAAGAAAACAAAAGCAGAAACAUAAAUUUCCAGCUUUAGGAAAUUUUAAUCUUUUUUACUGGAGGCCUGACGCGUACGGACUAGACAUGUCUACUCGCAAGAAUUUAGAUGAACGUGUCCAAAGCCCAGCAACGAUGAUCCAUAUAUAGAUUCGAAGUGCCAAACCAGCACCAAAUUAAAGAGCAUCGCAUCGAGAAAUAAACAAGAUCGCAGAGAUACAGUGCUACCUAGGACCUGUCUGCCAUUGUAGGUGGCGCUGCAGAAGCUGCCGAAGGAUCCGGGCGAUUCCCGGUGGUGGAUGUCGAGCUUGGCGAGGUCGAUCUCCCGGGACGCCAUGGGCGGGUCGCCGCCGCCCUUGCGCAGCCGCUUCACCAUGGCAAGGGUCCACGCCGCUCCGGGAGGGCAGCGCUCUCAGAUUGUGUUGGCACGGCUAGCCGGGAUCCUACUUCCCUGCAAAUCUCUGUUUAAACAGAUGCUGCAGAUAUCUCUGGCGGGCAUGCAUAUCUCGUCUCAUAUAUAGUCCUAUAUGCCAGCCAAAAAAGUCUCUCAUAACAGCCAAGCUAGAUCGUCCAUGUACAUGUUUAUGGAUAAUCCCCGCAAAAAGGACAUUUAUUUGUAUAUCAGCAAAGCCGAGGAAGCAACACAAGCUGAGACCGUCAAGCGAGCAGCGAGGACGCGCCAUCGCGCCCGCGUCCCUCAGCCGGAAACAGUCGCAUGGGUACGUAAAUAAUGAACCAAAUAAGGCAGCAGGAAGGACCAAACAUAUACUACCACGUUAAUUAACAAAAACAAAAAAAAACCCGUACUGUCAGGCUCCACAUCUUCUAUCUAACCUAAAAAUACACGACCAUACUGUGUUGUGUGGCCGAGAGAAAGGCUACAGAACCAGGGGCUGAUAACAAACCUCUUAAGCAGUUGUACCAAAAAUAACAGAUUCAAACGUAGCGUCGGCUACUUUCUCAACAAUCUUCGCUACAUGGGGCAUAAUUCACACUCCCAGCAACCUACAGGCACGACACGAUCUGGAAGGAGCGAGCCCUCCAUAGUUUUUGAGCCAACAUCUGCCACCAAUUCCCUUUCUCGUGCCGAGAACAUGGGUGCGACUCAAAACCAAGUAUCACCGACUACAGUACUACUGCUGUUCCUUGUUCUUGAGCUCAGUCUCGAUGGCCCGUAGUUUCUGAUUGUUCUCCUCGUUGAGGAGCGACAGCCUCUCUAGCGAAGAUUUCAUCAGCGACAUCUGGGACUCCGAAACGUGGCCUCUUCCGGCCUUCGGCGCCUGCCAUGGCGCCAUUCCUGUGCCGGUUGCACCACCCCCCAAAGACGGUUGGGUGAACCGUUUCAUCCUCGUGCUCAGGGCAGCAAUGGAAGUACGCAGAGCGUCCAGCUCCACGUCCGCAAACCUAUCUGCAAGUUUUAGCAGACACAAAGUAUGUUAGGGCAUGAUGAGGAUGUAAAGCGAGAAUAUGCAAAGUCAGGUUUCUAGAUUACGGACCAAGCUGUGACUUGAACUCCAGCUCUGCCUGUGACAAUGGUUUCUUGUUUGCGGCAGGCAGCAUCUUGAAGCUUUCUAUGCGCUUCUCCAACAGAUCAUACACCUUGGAGGCCCGUUCGACCCGCCUGUUUAUCUCCUCAUCUUUGGCUUCUAUGGAUAGAAGUGAUUGCUUCACUGCUUGUAGGCGUUUCUGCUUGUCUUCAAUCUCUGUCUUCACAUAAUCUUCGUGUUCCUUGAGCUCAAUGAAAACCUGAACAUCAUUCAAAUGAACCCACAAUCGUUAGUGAUAUGCUUAUAUUGUGGGGAUUAAAAGAUGUAACAGGUUCAGUUAUCUCCAGAAGGGAAUGACUUUUACUUGUGCACCAACAAUGGCAUAUGACAUAUUCUAAGUUGAUAAGGGAUAUGCACAAAAUACCAUAAUGAUAGCUCUUACCUUGUGACCAUACUCCACAUAGUGCUCAUGGAAAACCUUAAUAUAGUGAUGAAGUGUGGACUUCCCUUCGAUGGAGUCAGGAGUCAACGACCUCAGGCUUGUUGAAGAUGGAAGUAUGGGUGGAUCUGGACCAGCAAGAAGUUCUUUGCUGAUCAUUCCAGUUGUGGAAGAUUCUACAUCCUUGAUGUCCUUGCUACAUAUGUCAAGCUGAAGAGGUGUUGGUUCCUUCCAACCCUUCAUUUCUACCACAAAGCACUCGCCAGUGUAUGUGAUGCCAACUAACUGCACAUGGCCAUACGCAUCAGCUAUGGCGACAAAUCCAGAAAGGAAGGGAGAACUUGUAUCACUGUUGCCUGUGGUGAGUACAGGAUGCACCGAGGGUGGUGUGGAAGCCAUUUCAGGGUAUGAAAACGGCAGGAAGUGCAACGUGACCAUGUCAAGUCCCCCUCCAUGCGCACAAUAAAAUCUCUCUGGGACAAGGGGAUCCAGAAACAGUGAUAAAGAGCUACCAUUAGAAGUUUUUGGUAGUGCCAAAUCCACAAUUGAGAGCCUUAGCAAAGGAGGAGAGUGUCCCAUCCAGACAGCUUCUGUAUUGCUCUUCGCAUUUGAUCCCAUACUCGAUGAACGAUGUGAUCUCAAGGCCGACGAAUCUUGUGGAUUAGAGUCACAUAUCAUAGCAACGCUCUUUAUGCGUCCAUGUGAAUCGACAUUAAGGCGAGUAGGAACCCCAAUGCUCCAUUGUGGUUGGAUUUCAUCGGCUAGAGCAUCAAUCUGGAGCUGUCCACUACCCCAGGCAGUUACAAGAACUGAAUCUUUGCCAACAGAGCUGUACACAAAACCCACAGCUUUACCUUCACAAGAGCUGCUCUUGCCUUCGAGUUCAUUGUUUUCCUCGCAAACUCUACAAAGAGGCCCCUGCAUGGGUGCUCAAUCUUAAUACACAUUGAUUCAUGAUAAAAACAUAGAAUGAAGGUCAUAGAAAAUAGCACUCAGAAUUUGGAGAACCAAAUUCUCAAUUUCUCAUGACAAGAAAUGAUGAUAUUUCUUGGUUAUCAAAGCAGUUCAGGAAUAGUUGGUAUUUUGUUGAUUUUCUGUAUAACAUGUUUCGUAAGCUUUAACAUUUAAUUUAUACUACAGAUUGGUCUUGUUUCCAAGGAACUUCAGAAUUCAAAAUGAGUGGUAGAUUUACAAACAGAAAAUUUUAUGCCUAUAGUAAGUCAGCCAAAUAUAACCACAACAGUGAUUUUCAAAGAGAAUUAAAACAGUAAAAUCAAUGUUCAACAUAGUAUUUACUAUUUUCUUCCUCCAAAAGCGUACUGGCUAUCAGAACAUUUAACCAAUUGUCCGGCCAUGACCAAAACUGUGGGUACAAUAUUUGUUGACAUAUUUCUCAAAAAAUAUAUUUGCUGACACAAUUACAGUAGUAAAACUGCGCCUGCAGAGGAAGUGUCACGUGUACACAUGAGUGUGGCAGACAUGAUUGUGCAAUUUGUGGCAAAUGUUUGGUCACGAGCCAAAUGGCUCCUACCCUUACAAAUCAACAAUCUUAUGUACUAGAAAAGCAUCGGAUUGACUAUGAGCACUUAAAUGAACAAAUUACUAGUUUAAGAGGCAUGCCUUUUUUCCUUCCUCUUCAUCAUGGUUGCGUUACAUCAUCCUAACUUUAUAUACAGCAGGAAUAGAGGCGAUGUGCUACUUGUAUCCACGGUUAAAUCUCACCUCAAAAUAUUUCUGACCAAAAGUAAUUUACUUUGUUCCUUCUAAAGGUGCUUACUUUUUUCCUUCUAAAGGUGUUUACUUGAUAUUCACAUGUUAAAACCGAAUGCAAUAAUGCAUGAGAAAAUUUCAUACGUCUAGCCAUCCCAAGAUAAUAAAAGCAUCAGCCCCGUUCGAACACCACAAGCUGAAUUCUCCAGUUAAACACAUAGAGCUACACUUGCUCGGUCAUUCUCAGGUACUCCCUCCAUUCCAAAAUAGAUGACCCAACCUUAUACUAACUUUAUACUAGACCCAUUCUCAGGUACUAAAGUUAGUAUAAGGUUGGGUCAUCUAUUUUGGAACGGAGGGAGUAUAUUUCAGAAAGUCGAUAGAAGCGUACCUGUAGACUUAGAGAAUCGUCUACUGGGGCAUAUGCACGAGCUCUUGACAUCAGCGUGCUGCUAUCUGCUGAUUGACGUAACAGCUCCGGAAAUGUUGCCUCCAACCAUGCAAUUGCCAAAUGUGAGUUCGUGACAACAUUUGGAUUUGAAGAUUUCAACCCAAAUGUAUUAACAUCUUCAUAUAUCUCUUCGAUAUGUUUCUUACUAUAGUCACUGCAUCAUAGAAAAUAAUUGCCAAAUCAAUGUAGAUAAAGUACAACCUACAGCAUGAAAUUAAGUAGUUCUCACAAUGUUAGGCAACAUAUCGAAAUAAAAUGUUAGGCAACAUAAAAAUGAUAAGCGCUGAAAGAAGGGAGCAGAUAGAAGUGCAAUAUUACCAUCCAAAUGGAACAACGGGGCAGAGCACAAAAAUUGAACCAUCACUGAACAAGAUGAAAACCUGCAUAAACAGGCUUACAUGUGAAACAAAGCACAGGAAUUGACUACUCAACAUACAAAACAUUAAUCCUAAUCAAGGUAACUUUGAAGAGACUACACAUGUAUGUCCAAACAACAUAUCAAAUGACAACUUGAAAGAAAAAUUGAAAUGCAUGAGGCAUCAAGUAACUUCCUGUAAUUCUGUUAUGAACAGCACGGUGUAGACUUCACACAAAAAAAAAUAGUAUUGAUACAGUCAUACAAAAACAGUAAAUAAGCAUGGCAUUCCCAAAUUCAUUGGACAAAGAAGCUGUAUAGAUACUGUAGUAAUAUCCAUUGAUACCAUAAAUAUUUGUACCAUGUAAUAAGCUUAAAGCCUUAAACUAGCAAAACGAUAAAUUCCCAUAUGCAAAAUUCACCGCCAAAUUGCUCUAGAGCUGUUUGAAGUUACUCUAAGUGUGAUACUAUCUUGCUUGCUAUAUUAAAAUAAUAAUCCUGAUAAAUUUGUAAACUAUUCUGGGCAAGUUUAUUUUUGAGAGGGCUUCUAUUAUCUACUAUCUAGGCAACUGCAACCAAGAGACAUACCGAAAAUCUAUCCCACAGAUGAUCACUGCCAUAAGAGAAUGCCACUGGACAAAUUGACGAAGCAUUCUGACAUCUUCCAGGUAGAAUUGGCUGCAAAUAAAAUUCCUGCUCUGGUUGCUCUAAAUCAAAUGAGAGAUCAAAUAACCUGCAUAGAUGGUUAUUGAUUAUUUUAUCUUACAGAAAAUUUAAUAUAGUGGUUCCAUUAUGUUGAUCUAAGAAUAUUGUACCAGUUUUUUAAGAAGAGAUGAAGAAUGGGCGUAGAAAUAAAUAAAUAUACAUGAUGACACACAGAAAAAAAGGGUACUUGAUAUGGGAAUGGACAGAGGAAAAUACAUUUCCCAUUUACAUAAACUCCAACAAAUUGCAUGCUAAAUAAGCUUAAAUUAGCCCCUCCAUGUAGCACCAAAAUCCAUUUUAGCAUACCUGAAAACAGCAUCUGAUGUCAAAACACCAAAAUGGCUGCUGCUAAAAGGGUGCCAAGAUGUCUGCAGAACUUUUAUGCCAUUGUUAUUGGUAGGUAAAAUCUGAGAAGCAACUGGUGCGGUCCUGUAAUCAAAUGCAGGGGAAGGUAACAUUAUAGUAUAAUAAAGUUAUGCACAAUGGGUCAAUGGCAUCAAAAGAAGAAGAAAAGAUAGCUAUACAUCCCAUUAAUCUAAACUGCAGAGUGAAUGAAAACUCUGUAGACGCCUUCUUUAAUACCCCAAUGAGAAGAGUAGAAGAUUGCUCUUGAUGUGCAUGACUAAUGAGAAGAGUAGAAGAUUGCUCUUGAUGUGCAUGACUAAUGACAUGCAAGAGAUAUAAAAGAAUAUUCUUCCACUGGUUUCAAUUUUUUAUUGCAAAAAAAAUAUUCAUAACUAGAAUAUCUCAAAAUAUUCUGGAAAUAAAGGAGCAAGAGUGCAUUAUCAACAUGAGAUAUGGUUGUGGUGAAGAUAUAUACCUGCAUAUGAUUGUAUCACCAUCUUCUGAUACCCUCUCAUGUACAUACAAAACAUUUAUGUUAUGUGAUCCAGCUAGGAGUAAUGAUGACCCAUCCGUAUUUAGUGAUAUAUGAGUGACCUCGUAACCAAGAUCCGUCUCCGGCAUCAACAUCUGGACAACACAGGAGCGACAUCGAUUAUGUCAAUGCAAGAUAGUACAGAACAAUCAUCAUGGCAAAGAAAGAAUACCUACUGUGGAAACUUAUAAAAGAUUACACCACAAGCAAUGAGUACAAACAUAAAAGUUUUCUCAAUUUAACUAUGACAGCAUUUCAUGACAAAAAGUGAGAUCAAAUGAAGCAAAUAAUGCCGCAAACAAAACCAGUUAGGUAGAAAUGUAAAAUAGGCCUUAUUUUUGGCAUAGGAAUACACACAUUCCAAAAGGCUAUCAUAUCUCUAUGUCAGGAAUGGAAAUUUCCCAAUGUAUUAAAUAGUGGGCUAUGCCAUUUAGCGGCGGCUCGGCCAGAAGCUAUUAAAAGCCAUAGCGAAGCUAAGCCCCAUUUAGCGUUUUUCUUAAAUUGUGAUUUUUUUGAAAAAAAUUGGGUAUCAGGCUUCAUAUGUGAUAUAUCGCAUAUACUUGACAUAAACACAUGUUCGCACAACAAAACCGGAGCUCCAAUCGGUACCUUAAUUCAAUAACCAAGCUUCACACUAUGCACCACAUAUAUCACUAUAUCAGAAACAAGAACAAUAGAAUAAUGCAGCGGAAUGGUUUCAUAUAGCGCCUUAGCAGGCUAAAUGACUCCAAAUUUAGCGCUAGCGGGAAAUAACGGGCUAUUGGCGUCAUUUCCAAUUUAGUAUUAAAAUUGCAUAGCUUUAGCGGGAGAGCUCUCAAAGGCUAUAGCGGGGCUAUAGCCGGAUAUUUAAAACUUUGAAAUUUCCCCAAUAUGAGGAAGGAAUCAGUAACUUUCUUUUGAAGUCUUAGUCCACAUCCAAAUAAAAAGUGUACAACUAUGCCUCAGCCUCCCCCAUGUAUGUUCUCGUCUAACCUCCAAAACGUGAAAAUGCACAACUUAGGUGGUGCGUUUUCAUGCCUAGAAACAUGGUAGCUGAUAUAGUAUACCAUGUGAUGCCUAAAACUUAUUUUACAUAGUUAUAUUACUAUAUGCUAGUUUAGCCUACAAAACCGUCUUAUAUUUUGAGACGGAGGUACUACUACAUAAGAAAUGAGCUCGGAAAACCUUUAAUAUUGUGGAACCGUUUAAAACUCAAAUCUCCGUACAAAUAUAGGGGAAGGUAGACCCAUCUUCUAUCCCACCCUGUGCCCAUCGCACAUCAUAAUAUCGACUUCCCAUUUGUAAAAAUUAGAUAAUAUGCCGCACUAUAUUUCCUACAUCACAGUACAAACCUCUUGGAAAUAUUGUGCUUAGGGUAGCAAAGAGUACUACCUAAAUUAACAUACGAUCCGACACUAAGAAAUCCAAAUGCUCCACACUAUGUCCAGUUGCACAACAUCACACAGAGAAGCUUCUCCCCAUUUUUGUUCACACGCAGAAGUACUAGUGAAUUGCAAAUUGCCCCAGUCACCAAUGUAGAUUCUCAAACGUAUGGCUCUGACCUAGUGACUAGGGAACGGGGAGAACCGAUGCCUAUCCCUACCAUUUCACAGUGCCUUUAUACUACGAAAAAGCAACCACGGGGAGAAAUCACUUCACCUCGGAAGGCACGGCGGCCUCCACGGCGACCUCCUCCCCGUCCCUCUCCGCCUCGGCGUCGCGGAUCCGCACGGACACCCGGUGGGCGCCGCGCGCCGAAGGGUCCCAGACGUAGAGCCUCGACCCGGCGGCAUCCCACGCAGCACCGCCGCCGCCCAGGGCGCCGCGGAGCGCGAAGGCGGGGUGGGAGGAGACGGGGACCCACUGCGCCGGCGAGUAGGUCCUCUUGGGCGAGGGCCGGGGCCGGGGCCUCGAGGAGGUGGUGGAGGUGGAGGCGGAGGAGGGGGUGAGCGCGAGGGACGGGGACGGGGAGGGGCGGCGGCGGCGGGAGGGCGGGGUCGCCGGGGCCGGGGAGCGGCGGGCGGGAGGCGGGGAGUCCGGGGGCGAGGGCGACAGCUCCGGCGCGGUGAUGCGGGUCAUCGCCGACGAGGUUGCGCUUCGCUGCUGUCGGAGAGGCCGGAGCGGUCGUGGGGUUUGAGGUUUGCGGGAGGGAGGGGAGUGGGCGUCUUGUUGGGCUUUUAGGGGGACCUUUCUGUAUAGAUUUCGAGAGCACACCGGCUCUUUUCGAAGGGAGCGGCUAUGUGGCGGCGCGCCGGUGGUGGGCCGGCCCAGUACAACGUGGCUCGUCAUGCUGACAUCAUAUCAAUUUUCACCCCUUUUUACUUUAUUUAUAUUUCAAAUUCAAUACAUAUAUUUACCUGCAAAAUACAAAACUAAUUUUAAAAAAUGGUUAACAUGUUAUAAUGUUUUUGUUAGAGCAGUUAGAAAAUGUUGGGAACUUUUAAAAGAAUGAUCGUGGCAAUGGAAAAUGUUCCCGCUUUUCAAAACCAUAUUUGAUUUUUAAUAAAUACUUAUAAAAUGUAAAAAACUUUGUGAGAUAUAAAAAAUGUUUCAUACCAUUAAAAAAUGCAUGAGAUUUUAUGGAUUUCAAAGUCAAAAACAUGUUCGUGGCAUUACAGGAAAUAUUAUAUAAAAUUAAAAAAAUGUUAAAAUAUACGUGAUAUUUUAAAGAAAUAUUCACGUAUUUCCAGAAAAAUGACCGUGACGUUUAAAAAAUGACUAUUCAAUGUAAAUAAAUAUCCGUACAACAUGUAUCGUGUUUCAUGUGUUCUUUAAAAAUGUACACUGGAAAAGAAGUAGAUAUGUGUUGAAAAAAGAAAGCCGACAAAAAAUGGCAAAGAGCAAAAAUGAAAGCAAAAAAUAAAAUAAAACCAAAGGUCAACAAAGGGAAAAAAGGCCAAAGUAAAAUGAAGAAAAAAACAAAGAGAAACUGAUGAGAAAAAUAAAAGAAAACAUAAAAAACCUGAAUAAAACCGAAGCAGAGUGAACCUACAUCGUGUAGCGAGCAAACUACGCUAAUGGGCCGACCCGCUAGUCGUCGCCCGUUGGAGAUUCCUAUUAGGAGUCGGUAUGGUAACACAUGGCCAUGGCGUUUUUUGAAAGCACAACCGUUUUUAUGGACUUUGAACGUGACCAACAACGUCUUCUUCCUUUUUUUUUCCGGUUUUGGUAAUCCUACUAGUCUGAAUAUACUUUUUUAGCCUAACAAAGGUUAUCUGAUUUUUGUUUGCGUCCGUUGAUUUUCAAGAUCGAAGAUGACGAUGAGGCCUUGUACAGAAGAAAUCGAAAACGGCGACACCACGAUAGCGGCGACGUAGAUGGACGAGAGUCUGAAGGUUGACUGGUUUGUAUAAGGGGUGAAAAUCUGCUGCACGAGGAGGUCCGAGGUGAUGCCUGUGUGCUAGCGACGCCGAUCGUGGGUGGCAGACACAAGCGCUUAGGCCAACAACACAGAUGAUGGGGCUGCGGUUGAAGGAAGAAGAUGACUAUAUCAUGUGUGAAAUGGUUGGAAGUUAAAGGCAUUGUGUGAGGUGUUGAAUUUUGAUUGAACAGUUAAGAUAGAAAGAGGGAAAUCAACCGUUUUGCUUAGACGGUCCCUUCCUUCCGUUUGUAAAAAGCGACAAGGUCCUGCAUCCGACUUUGAAGAUGCUCGGAGGAUUCCUUCGGUCGGUGUUCCUUACCGGACUAGAUCCAGCUUUCGUGGGCUGGCGGCUAUCAUGACUCGUUAAAUGCCUUCUGGUUAUGGGUUUCUUUAGUGUCAAAAUGUGGACCGUGCUCCUUUUCUUCGGCGACGAGGAAGAUCCUUACAACCGCUUGUUUCUCUUUUAUUUUCUGUUGCUUGUAUGUGAAUACAAGUAAUGCAUGCCUACGGAUGUACAUCUUGAAAAAGAAAAAAAAAGUGAUAUUCGUUCCUAGUGGAUUGAUGGGUGGGGCCCACCUUUCAGUGCAAGGACGCUCCGUCGCGUCGCGACAGAUGACAAAGGAAUGGGCUGCUGCACCUGCAGGCACCGCCACCGCCAUCGGCCAUCCGCCGGCUUCAGCUUCAACGCGUCGAUCGGAGGCGCAUCGACCACCACACCGUCGCCUGCGCUAGCCCCAUGCCCCGAGCAAUGCGUAUGCUGCUCGUUUAGCUCGUGCGCCAUGGACUGCAGCCGCGAACCUACCUACAAUGCCCGUCUGUGCUAUCGACAGCUUCGUCAGCGCACUGAUUUCUCCCUGUCGAUCGACUGGCCCCGGCCGGCCGGGCCUCCGCCGCGCUCACGUUGGCCUGCCGCGACACUCCAUCUCCGGGCGGUUUGCCUGCCUGCUCGUUUCUGGGCACUUGCAUGCGUGCAUGCCCGCCCCGCCCGGCCGUGAGAUCGACCGAUCCCUAUCCAUGGUGGCCAGUCUUCCAUGGCAGGCAGCAGAUCUUCCAAAGACAGCAAGACGUGGAACGUGAGCGACAUUGAUGUACAGUACUACAUACAGAUACAGGUCUCUGUCCAUCACAUGGACGGCAUGGCCGCCGUGUCUGAAUCCAUGCGUGUUGAUUCCGAUUCCUGGCUAACAUAUGCUGAGCCCGACGAUCAUCAAUCUGUUCCCUCUAUUUUCGUCACCGAGGCCCCGGCUGCUCGGCACCCUAACGGCAGCGGGUCGACAGCAAGCCGGCGUGGUCCUUCCAUUCUGAAUCCUGAAACCAUGGACGCAGGCGGUCAUGAUGCAUCAAUCAUCCACUUAGGCAGCAUCCAUCAAGAUUGCCGCGCAAAAUGUGAGCUAGGAUCCUGCCACAUGCACGGUAUCCGUCAGGAAGCGCAUAUGCUGUCUCAUCAUCUUGCCAAUUAAACCUAAAGAGACCAUAUAUGUACAAGCAUUCGGCGUCCACCAUGGCAUGAUCCAUCAGCAAGCACUGACAGCGAGAUCGAUCGGUCGAUCGAUCGCGCAAAACGUGAGCCAGUAGGAUCUUGUCACGUUCACGGUAUCGGUGUUGGUCUGCUGUGCUAGGUGAUCUAUGCGUGCACUUAAAUUCAACCAUGAUCUGAUUCUGAUCUAUACAUACAUUGCAGACCAUCACUAUCAGCGUGCUUCUCUGCUAUUGUCAGAAACGUGGGGCAUUGCGAAAACAUAAACUUUAAAAGCCACUAUUUCGUUGUACAGGCACAUGGAACAUCAGCGCACAAUCUCUCUGGGUGGUGGAUUGGAUCACCACAUGCUCAUAUCUUCCUUUGGUAAAACCACAUGCUCCAACAUCUCUCUGGAAGUCUCUUCUGCCUGAAUGCGCACACCUCCUACUCCUAGUCAAGCUAGAACCAAAACAUGGGCAAUCACAAUCUUCCCAUAUCUCACCACAUGCUACUGGAUCCGACUGAAUGGCUCCCCCACUGGCACAACCUUCUCGAUCUCAUGCUUCUACGCUCUUGACAGUUGCAAACAACCCCACAUGUCCAGCAUUUCCUGUGGUAACUGCAUCCACACCCAUGCUUGGAAACAUAACAAUGGGUGCAAGUUAUGUGCCGCCUUAAAAUCAAGGUGCAUCCUCACAUGCUCCGAACGCAUGGCAAGACCAUUUUGUUCAUGCCUCGAUGUCCAUGAAUCUCGACAUCUUAUCGCUUCCGCGAUAUUACUAUCGACAUUCUAUGAGCGAGCCAGGAUGGUGUACACUCGGUUUACCCGGUGCAGGUUCAGAGUUCAGACUAGCUAGUUUAAGUGUUUAACGUAGUCACCUUUGAAGAAACGCAAAAGCAUUCCCUGCUUACAAGGGAACAGAAGACGUUUGCACAAGCAGAUAAGCUCCUCUGUACUUGAUUAUGCCAUUGUAUUGGACUUUGAGUCGCCUUAUGAGACUUUCGUGUGAUAACAUCGUGCCCAGAUUAGCUUAAGGGUGAAGUAAAUUCAGCUACAAGGCAGUACGAUAAAACAACUAGAGAGCCCGUACUGUCAAUCAUACAUUUUGAUAACCGAAGAUCAACAUGAAGAUAGAGUGCAGAUUGAGCAAUGUAUAUACUGUGAGGCUGUUUAACUUCGGUUCUGGCAAGAAUUUAGCAAUUCACCGUAUAUACUGAUACAGUUAUGCUAGUGAACAGACACCCCUGGGCCCUGGUCAAAUGAAGACUUUGUAUCAUCAUCAGGUCAAGUCUGAUUGCUCUUCAUGAUAUUUAACUUGUCACAAGGAAUGUCAUGUGGGGCACGUCUUACAGACGUGGGCCGCGCGGCCAGGAGCAGCCGACGGCCGCAUCAGGCAAGGCGCAGGCUGGACAGGAGUCCUGAUCCGGGCACAUUAGUUCCUAGACUAGUUUGUUUCGUAUAGGUUUCUAGUUUGUUAUUAGCCCAUGGGGCCUUUAUAUAUCAGAUAGUUAGCACCCUUUAGGGACAAGCAAUAAAGUUAUUUCCUUCUAUCUUCUCCUCCCGCAUCAUAGAGCAGCCAGGCAAAAACCCUAGCGCUCCUAUCCACCGCGACUACGAACUACGUAGUCGAGGUCCUGCUGUCUUGGGCACCGAGGCCCUUGACAACUUGGUAUCAGGUUCCAGGCGAUCCUCCUCCUCGUCCACGCUCCAUCCGCCGGCCGCUUUCCCCCCUGUGUCCGCGCCCAGCUCCCCGACAUCGCCACAAUCCGCUGCCGCCUCGGUCACUUCCGGCAUGGCAGAACCGACCACCGCGGAUCUGGCUAAGAUGAUCGAGGCCUUGACGGCCACGGUGACGUCCCUGCAGUCGUCCGUCACCGCACUCCAGAAGGACAAGUCCUCCUCCUCGUCCAGCGCUGACGCCGCCCAUGAUGGGCAGCACCACAAUGAUCGGCCGCCCAGGUUCCAGAAGAUGGACUUCCCCAAGUUCGACGGCAAGUCUGAUCCGCUCGCCUUCAUCAACAGAUGCGAGUCCUUCUUCCAUCAACAACGGAUCGCCGAGGAGGAGAAGGUGUGGAUGGCGUCCUACAAUCUCGAGGGUCCUGCCCAACUAUGGUAUAUGCAGGUCCAGCGCGACGAGGGCACACCUCCGUGGCGCCGCUUCUCCGAGCUGCUCAAUCUCCGCUUCGGGCCACCGCUGCGCGCUAACCCGCUGGGCGAACUAAUGGCGUGCAAACGCACGACGUCCGUCGUCGACUUCCAGGAGCGGUUUGAGGCACUCCUUCCCCGGGCAGGCACCUUAUCCGAGACACAGAAAGUGCAGAUCUUCACCGCGGGACUCCAGCCACCCCUCAGCCUCGACGUGGAGAUCCAUAACCCACAGUCCCUCGCCGUCGCCAUGAGCCUCGCCCGCAAAUUGGAGCUGCGCGACCAGUGCGCGCUUUCCGCCGCGCCACCGGUGCGUUUUCCACAGAAGGGCAUCCUGCCGACACCAGGACCACGCCUCGCGCCCCCCGCUCCGGCCCCACCAGCCGCACCUCAGCAGGGCCACAAUCUGCCGGACGGACGCCCAAUCAAGCGUCUCUCCCAGACAGAGAUGGAGGAACGCCGUCGCCUGGGCCUUUGCUUCAACUGUAACGAGAAGUUUGGCAGGGGCCACAACCGCGUGUGCCAGCGCAUCUUUCUCCUCGACUUAGCGCCGGACGACGACGACGACGACGCGGCCUCCGCCACUGAGGAUGCAUCGCGGGCCGACCCUCAAAUCUCGCUCCACGCGAUCGCCGGCGUGCGCACGAGUGAAACCAUGCAGAUGCAGAUUACUCUCGGAGGUGUCUCCCUCCUCGCCCUGAUCGAUUCAGGCUCCACCCACAACUUCAUCGCCGAAGAGGCGGCCGCUCGUGCUACGUUACCGCCCCCCACCACAGAGAAGAUGCGCGUCACGGUGGCCAACGGCGAGCGCGUUCCGUGCCAGGGCGCGUACCGCGUCGUGCCCUUCCGCAUCGGCCACGAGGAGUUCGCGGAGGAUUUCCUCGCCUUGCCGCUCGCGAGCUACGACAUCGUCCUGGGACGCAGUGGCUGGCGUCGCUCGGACCGAUCCUGUGGGAUUUCCGAGCCCUCUCCAUGACAUUCUGGCGGCGGGGCCAUCGGGUGUGCUGGCACGGCAUUGCAGGACCGGACGGGCCAGCCCUAAAAUCAUGCAGCGGCCGCGACUUCCUGGACGCCAUCAUCACCGAGUUCGACGGCAUCUUCGCCGACCCCUCCGGCGUGCCACCGCCCCGCAGCCGCGAUCACGGCAUCACCCUGCUACCUGGUUCCGCCCCGGUGGCCGUCCGUCCGUAUCGAUACCCGGCCGCGCACAAGGACGAGCUGGAGCGUCAGUGCGCCGCCAUGCUCGCCCAAGGUAUCAUCCGUGCGAGUUGUUCCGCAUUCUCGUCCCCGGUACUGCUGGUCCGCAAGGCCGACGGGUCCUGGCGCUUCUGCAUCGAUUAUCGCGCCCUGAGCGCCAUUACUGUCAAGAAUGCGUUCCCGAUUCCGGUGGUGGACGAACUCCUCGACGAGCUACGGCACGCUCGUUUCUUCACCAAGCUCGAUUUACGUUCCGGCUACCACCAGGUGCGGAUGCGUGCGGAGGACAUCCCGAAGACAGCUUUCCGUACUCAUGACGGCCUCUACGAGUUUCUGGUGAUGCCGUUCGGACUCUGCAACGCGCCGGCCACGUUCCAGGCCCUCAUGAAUGAUCUGCUGCGGCCAUACCUGCGCCGUUUUGUUCUCGUCUUCUUUGACGACAUCCUCAUUUUCAGCGAGACAUGGGCUGACCAUCUCCGACAUGUGCGCACCGUCUUCACGGUCCUGCACCAGCACCGGCUCUUCGUCAAGCGCUCCAAAUGCGCGUUCGCCGUUGAAUCAAUCGCAUACCUGGGUCACACCAUCUCCGCUGCAGGCGUGGCCAUGGAUCCGGAAAAGGUGCAGGCAGUGGCGGACUGGCCGCAACCACGCUCGGCGCGCGCGGUUCGGGGCUUUCUCGGCCUUGCGGGGUACUACCGCAAGUUUGUCAAGGACUUUGGCGUGGUUGCCGCGCCCCUGACGGCCCUCCUUCGCAAGGAUGGUUUCUCUUGGUCGCCGGAGGCGGCAGCAGCUUUUAACACCCUCAAGACGGCAAUCACCACGGCUCCCGUCCUCGCGUUACCGGAUUUUACACGGCCGUUCAUCGUCGAGUGUGACGCAUCGACGUACGGUUUCGGGGCCGUCCUUCUUCAGGACCACCACUCGGUGGCUUUCUUUAGCCGGCCAGCCGCGCCACGUCACCGUUCCCUGGCAGCGUAUGAACGGGAACUCAUCGGCCUGGUGCUCGCGAUUCGCCACUGGAGGCCGUACCUAUGGGGGCACCAGUUUGUGGUAAAAACGGAUCAUUACAGCCUCAAAUUUCUGCUUGACCAGCGUUUGGCCACCAUCCCUCAGCAUCAUUGGGUUGGCAAACUCCUGGGAUUCGACUUUACGGUGGAGUACAAGGCAGGUAGUACCAACACGGUGGCGGAUGCACUUUCCCGCCGCGACACGGAGGAGACGACGAUCAUGGCGGUCUCGGGGCCUCGUUUCGACUUCAUCAAUCGCCUCCGGCAAGCGACGUCCACUGAUCCGGCGCUCGUCACACUGCGGGAGGAUAUCACGGCAGGUGCGCGGCAACAGCCUUGGGCGCUCUCCGACGGCCUCGUUACUUUCAACGGCCGCCUCUACAUUCCGCCGUCAUCCCCGCUACUCCAGGAGAUUCUCAGUGCCGUGCACGAUGAUGGGCAUGAAGGCGUCCUGCGCACAUUGCAUCGUCUCCGCCGCGAUUUCCACGCACCUAACCUUCGCAAGACGGUGCAGGAGUACGUCCGCAAUUGCGGUACUUGCCAGCGGUACAAGUCCGAGCACUUGCACCCCGCUGGGCUGCUACUGCCGCUGCCGGUGCCCACGGGCGUGUGGACUGACAUCGGCAUCGACUUCGUGGAAGCGCUUCCUCGAGUAGGCGGGAAGUCUGUCAUCCUCACCGUGGUGGAUCGCUUCAGCAAGUAUUGCCAUUUUGUGGCGUUAGCCCACCCAUACACGGCAGAGUCAGUGGCACAGGUGUUCUUCGCUGAGGUUGUUCGUCUCCAUGGCGUGCCGCAGUCCAUGGUCUCUGACCGCGACCCCGUCUUCACCUCCGCGUUUUGGCGAGAGCUCAUGCGCCUCACGGGGACAAAGCUGCACAUGACGUCAGCAUUUCACCCACAGUCGGAUGGUCAAACGGAGGCUGCUAACAAGAUCAUUGUGAUGUAUUUACGGUGUCUUACCGGGGAUCGUCCCAAGCAGUGGCUCCGGUGGCUUCCCUGGGCUGAGUACAUAUACAACACCGCCUACCAGACAGCAACCCAAGAGACUCCGUUCAAGCUUGUGUAUGGCCGUGACCCUCCCACUAUUCGCUCUUACGAGCCCGGCGACACACGGGUAGCUGCAGUGGCCAGGAGCAUGGCUGAGCGCGACGAACUUAUCGAGGACGUCCGCUAUCGUCUACAACAGGCACAGGCGGUCUAUAAGUCCUACUACGACAGACGUCAUCGGGACAUUCGGCAUGAGGUGGGCGAUUGGGUUUGGCUUCGCCUUCGACAGCGCGCCGCGUCCUCUCUCAACUUGCCAACCAGGGGCAAGCUCAAGCCACGAUUCUAUGGGCCGUACCGCAUUUCAGAAGUGAUCAACGACGUGGCAUACCGUCUUGAGCUUCCGGCACGCUCGCGCCUCCAUGACGUGUUCCACGUGGGCCUCCUCAAGAAGUUCUUCGGCAUUCCUCCAACUACACCGCCGGGAUUGCCUUCGAUCCACAACGGGGCGGCUGUUCCAGAACCAGAGCGCGUGACUCGUGCGCGCCUAGCACGCGGCGUUCGCCAGCUACUCGUCCACUGGAAGGGUGAAGCAGCUUCGUCAGCUACAUGGGAGGAUCUUGACAGUUUCGUCGAGCGCUACCCCGCUUUUCAGCUCGAGGACGAGCUGCUCGUCGAGGGGGGGAGAGAUGUCAUGUGGGGCACGUCUUACAGACGUGGGCCGCGCGGCCAGGAGCAGCCGACGGCCGCAUCAGGCAAGGCGCAGGCUGGACAGGAGUCCUGAUCCGGGCACAUUAGUUCCUAGACUAGUUUGUUUCGUAUAGGUUUCUAGUUUGUUAUUAGCCCAUGGGGCCUUUAUAUAUCAGAUAGUUAGCACCCUUUAGGGACAAGCAAUAAAGUUAUUUCCUUCUAUCUUCUCCUCCCGCAUCAUAGAGCAGCCAGGCAAAAACCCUAGCGCUCCUAUCCACCGCGACUACGAACUACGUAGUCGAGGUCCUGCUGUCUUGGGCACCGAGGCCCUUGACAAGGAAUGGCAUUAUAUUUGUAUAAUUGCAUCCACCAGUUGCAGUUCACACAUAUUAUAUUUUGAGCUAAAAGAAAUUGUUUGUUUCUCAACUAAUUUGCCCCCUGGAACUGGAACCUCCCAUCAUUUAGGUGCAUUAUCAUCCCAUAAACAAGAAGAGUCCUCGUUUCGUUGACAAAAUAAAUAUUUUUCUGCUGAGAAAAAACUCCUGCCACUUCCCUUGCAUUACCAACAAUGAUGAGCUGCUGAUCAUCAGCAUAAACCAAACACGCGGUCUGACCUCAAAAUUUGAAUGAUUCGUCAUUCAAGCAUAUAGACUAAUGGGGCAGAGAUGAUGCAGCAUUGAUCAAAACGUCCUUUGCGUUCCACAGACGGUCCCUCAGUUGAGUCAGCUCCAUUUCAUCAGACGCCAAAUAAUUAAAACCCUAUGAAAUACUACUGUAAUUGUUUCCUUCUCGCCCAGUUGCUGCAACUCUGGAGAAAAACUCACACGACUUGCCUGGAAAGGACAGCGAUGUUUUGCACGUCCUUCCCUUGUUUUCCAUGGACCAGGCUUGUUUUUCGCAGCUCAGACUUUUCACAUUUUUGACUGGACCACUAAGGAAUGCCGAUUUCUAGAUGUUCUAUCCAGGUUUUUGGCUGCGAUCUGAUCUCGACGUGCACCAACAAAACCCCGUCUCUAGCUUGAAAAGGGAAUUGUUUUAUCUACUUAAUGAAUACGCAUGCCGGGUUUUCGCAAAAGCUUUUUUGUUGUGCGCAUCAAUCGAGCGGAGAAAAAAGAACGAAAGAUGAAUUAUGCUCCACAAAAUUCAGAAACUGGCUUCAAAUGCACUUGAUUCAAAAGUGGACGGCCACGUGAGGCGCACAUGCGGCGACUCGGUAGCGGCAACCGCCAGCAGUUUCUGAUGCAAACAAUGUUAGCGCUAAUUAACUAGACUGAAAAAUGGGGGUGCAAAUGGAUCUGUGUGUGGAAUUUGUGGAUCCGAUGCAAGUACUGGUACUAUUUAGUACUAAAAUUAGGCGGCAUCUGAAGGUGGUACGUCCGUCCUUGCAGGUACCGCAAGGCCAAUGGGCAAUGGCCGGCGACCCCAUCAUCAAUGGCGAUUAUGACCCUGUUUGGAUCAUAUGGGGUUAGAGCUAGUUUGGGUUAGUUUAGGGCUUAAAUAACCUAAAAAUAUCCAAACAUGGAGGGUUAGAGUGGGUUAGUUUCAUCUAACCCAACUAUCCCGGUGAAGAGGUGCUUAUUUGAGUUAGAGUGGGUUAAAAAAUAACUCUAACUCUAACUGUGUUAGAGUAUCCAAACAGGGCCUAUAUAGAUUAUAAACUAUUCGGCCCGGCCUCCGCGGACGGACGCUCCAUUACUGGCUCUUUGACACCUCGCGACGUGCAAGCCACAUGCCGCUCGCCUCACACAUGGCUGCCCGUAGAGGCUGGCUCGUACGUCACCAUAGGCAUAGCCUAUGAACCCUAACAGUAACUGCUUCAGACGGUUAACUGUCGAAGCUAGUUCACACUCCAAAAAGCUGCUUGCUACCGUAUUAUUGCUAGUGAUCGGCUAGACAAUUGGACAUUGCAUGUUAGUGAAAAUUCAGUUUGUCAAACAGUUCUGCAGUACAUAUUUUUCCUAACAUGAAAAUUGACUGGGAGUCUGGGACGAAGCCAUUGCUUCUAGAGGUCAAGUAAGCCGUCCAUCACGACGAUCGGGAUACAUGCGUCAGGAAGUGAGGCCAUGUUCUUGGCAAGUAAACAAACAGCGCAUCUGUAGACUUUCAGGGAGGCCGAUCGAGGGGGUCUGCAUAUCUCUAUUCCAAAGCGUCUCGGGCUGAACAGUCUCGUGCUCCUAACCGAAGAUUAGAUUUCAGCCUGCAGUAGUGUAGCUGCUACUACGAAACUAGUAUGAGGUGGACCUGAUCUAACGGAACGGGACGCAUCGGGAUGCGAGGAGAAGCAAGCAACAUCUUCUUCCCAUCGAGAUGCUCGCUGUUGGACCAGAGAAACCUUUGGAGACGAGAGGAUCCGUCCAUUCAAGGUCGGCGGGCGACGAGAUGCGUGCAAGUGCUGCAGCAGCGCCCACUUUUCUCGCUCGGAGACUCGUGCAAGCUUGAGGGAAUCUCAUCAUCACUACCCGGCUUGCAAAAGAGAGGCCGCUUUUCCUUUUGGUUCGGGCUCCCGAGAAAGGUCGAUGAAUGAAAGCGUGGCACACAACAACUAACGGAAAAGCAGAGGGAUAUGGGACUACAGAUCUCCCGUGGAUAAGCAUGAUUAGUUUUUUCCAAGGGAAAGUAAGAUCGGUUUUUUUACGUAAGAUAAGAAAGUACUUGGAUUUGUUAGAUCCUCGUCCGUUCAAAAAGCAAGAUCCUCCGUUCGGUUGUGCGAUGCAGCUCGUUUUUACAACGACGUACCCUCGAAUGCCCCGUGGAAAUCACAACAGAAACACACACAAGAACUAAAAGGGGCAAACUGAACUGAACCACAAACAGUCACCUUGCAUAUCUGAAGGUAUUGUGCUGUGCCGGCCAGCCUGAACAUGAGGGGCAAACGCAAGGAAAUUAAGGAAGCACAUGAAUGCAGACCAGCCGACUGAUGAGGGGCACGACCCUGACGACAGACAGCAGCCGGGUCCUGCAUUGCGUUGCGCCGGUGCAGCCGUGCAGGUACGGUGCGGCGCGAUCGACGGGAACAGUGGCCUUCAUGAAUCUGGGUGCCGUGUUUGUCCCUACUGGUACUGUAUGUCACCUAGCUUCGUCGUACAGUUGGUCGCCAGUUUUGCUUUGCACCGUACAAGUGUUAGCCGAUGCUCAGAUAACGGCUCCAGAGUGCACGCUUUGCCUCAUGUGACGAGCAGUGGACAGGCAGUAAAAGGCGCCAAAAACGUCACUGUGGACUUUUUUUUUCACAAAAAAUAGUUGUGUGCAUGUGGCGACUGUUUUUCUUCUUCUUUCCAGCAUUGGAUCGAAUUGCAGUACGUUACUCCGAUUGAUCCAAAGGUGGCAUUCAUUUCACCAGAGGGUACAGCAGGUACGUGGUAGUACUACAACACAUGCGCGCCAAUAGUCAAGUGAAGAUUAUUUUACAACAACGGCCGGCUGCCAUAGAAGAUGUACGCACGCGAAAUAUGUAAAGGCAACCCAUAACUGCAGCGUAUCGAACGGAACAUUCAAAAUCUUUCCGGUGACAUCGCAACAGACCCCUGAUAAAAUGGGCAACAACAAAUCAAUCAAUCAAGAGAGAAAAAAGAUCAUCGCCCUUCAUUUUUCACAUCAAUCUUUCCAUAUGAUUCCAUCAAUGGCGCAGUCCGCAUGCAUGCAUUACACCAUUCACCCGGCUAAUCCAGAUCAUCAUCGGAGAAAGAAUGCGGGCAGUGGUAAUGAUAAUUCCUAGUAAGAAAAAAACCGUGGGGGGAGAUACCGUACGUCGAAUCAUCCCUCACCAUCACGACGCUGGAAAAACACGACCGACGAAGAAGAAGAAGAAAAAUGGAGAACAGAACUUUUUUUUUUCGUGGGAGAGGAUGGUAGUCAGGUACUUCUAACGGUGGCCGGCGAGCGACGACGGGGCUCCGGCGGCCGGCCGGGCCGGGCUUAUCUGCAGAGGGAGUUGUUGGGGGUGCCGACGUCGGCGGCGGCGAUGGCGAACUCGGCGCUGCAGUAGCAGAAGGCGGCGUUGUCCUUGUUCUUGCCGCCGGCGCGGCCCUUGUCGACGGCGCGGAGGAUGGCCUCGAAGGCGGGCACGUCGCAGGGGAUGCGGAGCAGGCCCUCCUGCUGGAACCCGAACUCCUCCUCGGCCUCCCGGAGCAGCGCCGCGAACGCCUGGUGCUUGAGGUACUCGGUCGGGAUCACGAACCGCCGCAUCGCCGGGCCCACCGACACCGCCAGGUGCCCCUUGGGCGGCGGCCCCGACGACGCCGCCGACGACGGCGGGCUCUCCGUGAAGGACAGCGUCCGCUUCAGGAACUUCUUGGCCUUGCUCUCGCCGUUGCCUCCGGCGGUGACCGUGGCGACGGCGGGCGUGCUGGCCGCCGCCGCGUCGGACUUGGAGGCGACGGAGAGCUUGCGCCACUUCUUGAGCAUCUGCUGCAGCCGCACGAUCUCCGUGAUCUUGUUCGACUUCUUGCCCCCGAGCUGCUCCAUCUCCGGCGCUCCGACGGAAGAUCUCCGGGCGGUGGUCUCCUUUCCUCCUUCUUCUACGGGAUUUCGGGCUCUGGUUUGGGUGUGGCGUUGAUGUUGCUGUUGCUGUUGCGCUGCUUGGGGCCGUUCGUCGAGGGGGCAUUUAAAGGGGGGAGGGGGCCGGUGGGGCCCACCGGCGGUGUAGGGUUUCCGUGAGGGGUAGCGGCAGUUUCUACUGUUUCUAUUUUAUUAUGAUUAUUAUGAUGAUGAUUGUGGAUUUUUUUUAUUUCUCUGAAUAAUGGAGUUGUUAAUUAUGUUGAGAUGAGGUUUUGUGAAUGCCAGUUCGAAGCGUCUGAAUGGACCUGCGUUUGUUAUUGGCACCUUGGUUGGGGAAAUGUGUGCUGGCCAGCAACUGACCGGCGAAAAUUUAACCGAGAUUAUUUUUGCUCUUCACGCAGUGUCAUGUGUUGCGCUUUGACUUGGAUUUGUGGACGGUUAGGGUAGCCUUUUUAUCCAAGGGUAGAUCGGAAAUGAAGUGUAUAGUCGUAACCCUCUUGGAUUUUACCCUAUUGUUUUUUUAUCAAAGGUAGAUCGAGAUGAUGUUUUUUCCUUCGUCCUCGAAGGAUAGUAGCCCCUUGUUAUUAACCGAAAGUUUGUUAGGGUCGUACGGUGAAAGUGGAUAAAAAUGUUUUUUUUGUAACUAUAGUUUGGGAAAAGGGAUCUAAAUCUACUAUAAAGGUUCACUGAAUGUACAAAGCAGCACCACAAACAUGAUAAGAAUUACAUUGAGAUUCAUGGGCCAUCGGAUGACCACGGCCGCUAGUAGAUUGAGCUGCUCACGCGUCAUUAUUGCCACUCCCUUACAAGAGCCGGCUUGACCAUGUCAUUGAUAGUCGGAAAGUCUUCAUACACAUGCCAAUAAGGAUCGAGGUCCCAAAGUUGCAAUUGUUGCCAUUAAACCCUUCAAUGGAUCAUACCAAAUCUAGUCGUCUCGCACGUACAUAAAAGAGAAAAGUAUACUUUUCAUCCCUCAAUUCUUGGAAGUCAAGAUUUGGUCCCUUAACUUUAAAACCGGACAACUUGCGUCCUUAACUACUGAAACCGGCCAAGAUUCAUCCCUGGUCACGGUUUGACCGUUUUUUGUGAUGUCCCAACCCGAUUUUGACCGUGCCGACUCAAAUUCGCGUACCUUUUCCAAGUCCGCUUAAUGUUUUCAAAUUCCGGUACUUUUUUCAAAUACGUGAACUUUUUAAGAAUUUGUGUACUUUUUCCAAAUCUGCGUACUUUUUCCAUGUUCACGUACUUUUUUAAAUCCACGUACUUCUUUAAAGUUCAUGUGGUUUUUUUCAAAUUCAUGUAAUUUUUAAAAAUUGACAUACUUAUUCAUAUUCAUGUAUAUUUUUUUGGAUUUGAAAAUUUUAUGCGAACUUAAAAACAUACGCGGAUUUGAAUAUCCUUUACGCGAAUAAGAAAACAAAUGUGUGGACUUGAAAAAUUAUGUCAACUUGGAACAAGUAUGUGAAUUUCAAACAAAGUUCAUGGAUUGGAAAAGGAACACGGAUUUGAAAAAAAUACACGAACUUUAAAAAGUAUGCGGAUUUGAAACAAGUACGUGAAUUUCAAAAACAGUUCAUGGAUUUGAAAAAAAAUACUUGGAUUCAAUAAAAUUACACGAACUUGAAAAAAAUACACUGAUUUGAGAAAAGCAUGCAAAUUAAAAAAAUUCAUGGAUUUGUAAAAAGUACACAAAUUUCAAAAUAGUUCACGGAUUUGAAAAAAGGUAUGUUUAUUUUUGAAAAAAUUACACGACCUUGAAAAAACUAUGUGGAUCUGAAAAGAGUAUGUGAAUGUCAAAAAGUUCAUGGAUAUGAAAAAAUUACGUGAAUUUUAGUCAGCAACGGUCAAAACGGGGGUCAGUCGGCACCAAAACCGGUCAAAAUCGAGAGCAGGGACAAACCUUGUCCGGUUUCGUUAGUUGGGGGUGCAAGUUGUCUGGUUUUAGAGUUGAGGGACCAAAUCUAGACUUCAUCAAAAGUUAAGAGACGAAAAGUAUACUUUUCUCUACAUAAAAAAACCCUAACAUCACCUCUCCAAGGAUACAACAUGUUCUACACCGGAGAUCCAUCGACUCUGUCCUGGUGGAUCAGCUCGAAGACCAGGGGUCGAAGAAGAAUCACCACCAUCCGCCAUGGCGCCGCCCCCGCGAGGACUAAAAAACCUAACCUAAAAUAUUGGUUGCAUCGAAGCACGAGAAAUUCCCCCUCCCCUUGCUGGCCACCAGAGCGGCAUACAUAUGAGAUGGUAGUCCACGGGCUCAUCGACGAAGCCUGGAGGGAACGAAGUUUUGCCCUAGCCGCCACAAUAGAAGGGGAAGGGAUAGAUAGCCAUGGACAAUACUUUGGUCAUCGAGCUUUUUUUUGACAGAAUAAAUAAUUCCACUCCUCAAACACCGAAAAUAUAAUGUUAAAACAUAUUUUUCUGGAGCGGAUAAAAACUAUCAGUAAAAAUGUAAUAGACCUUUUUUUUUUGGAGCUGAAUAGUAAUGGACUCUUAACCACUCGUAUCCUCCCAGGCUUUGUGACGACUCUUGGCCGUGGUCUCCACCUAUCGAAUAGCCCUACAGAGAUCCUCUGUACACGCACCAGCUUCCUUCAUCCUUUCUGCCUUCUUAACAGUCGUCCGAUAGGUCGACGGCGCAUCGGUGGAGUGGAGAGCGGCCGAUGCGGCGCCGUCGAGUGGCCAGGGCAGCCAACCGUCCGUUGCAGCAUCCGCAUCCUCUGGCUCGCUCGAUUUGCCUGCUUUUCUCCGCUGUCGAUGUGAAUGAAAAUAGGUGAGGCAUCCAUGGCCAAGGCGAAUCCCUGGAUGCCCAUACAUGAGGUCGGCUCUGUUACAAUGCGUGCAGAUCACGAAGAGAGAACAAGGAAUAACGCAAGGAAAUUCGAAGGCGAAGAAAAGGAAUAACACAUGAAUGAAAAUCUACUGUUGCCUAAACUACAGGAUACUUUCUGGGAGCUCCUCCGGACACGUAUCCCAGCAGCGACUUUCUCCUUCAACAGUUGCAUCCUUCAACAAUUGUGAUAAAGGAACUCGCAAAAGGAAAAAGUGAUAUAGAGGAGCUUGCCCGAUUUAAACCGGCUCAUUUUUAGGUUGUGACUGGGUAACUUUAUUUUUGAUAGCAAUGUAUUGUGAGAGAAAAAAAGGCACCCUGGAAUAGUUGGAUAGCCAAGUGAAAAGAAAAGGUGAGGCUAGUCUAAAGUCUUUAUUGUUUUUUUAGAAUACAUAGGAGCAUGCAUAUCAUGUACUCCCUCGGUUGACAAAUAUAAGUCGUUCUAGAGAUUCUAAUAGGUGACUACAUACAAAGCAAAAUGAGUAAACCUACACUCUUUUUUUUAGGGGAGGAAGGGAUUUAUAUCAAUUAAUCUGGACCGCAGCAAUCCAGUUCACACAACUUUACAACCCUUUCAGUGCCGGACCCUAACCAUACGACCGUCUUCAUCUCACAUCUACCCAACUGAGCUAAGUGAUGGCUAACAAGAUUACAUCCUCUCCUAAUAGACUUAACUAGUAUCUCUCUUCCUCCUCUCAUAGUGGAGGCAAAUUAACUGAACCUACACUCUAAAAUAUGUCUACAUACAUUCGUAUGUUGUAGUUCAUUUAAAACGGCUAAAAAGACUUAUAUUUAGGAAUGGAGGGAGUAUAUUUAGAGCCCCCGCAAAAAAAUAUUUAGAGAAGAGAGGGUAAAGAAAUUCACCCACAAGCAUACUCUUAAUCACUCACCGCAUCAGAUAUGACAUCCGAGGGCAAGGAUUGCGCCCACAUGUUAUUGAACUAUUCAGGGGCUGCAACAAUAUGGACAAGGAUUGCGCCCACAUGUUAUUCAACUAUUCAGGGAUUGCAACAGUUUGGUGCACGUUUGGCACCGCAUGGGUUUCUCUUUGUGAUUUUUUGGAAGACUAGGGAUGUAGGCGCGACAAAAGUUCUUCACAGCGGUGAUCAAUCAACUAUCAAUAAUGUUAGCUAACAUCAUUCAUCAAUUUCUCUCUGUGGUCUCACCGCUUUAAGCCAUCGAAGCAAAAUAUGACCACAACCCAAUUGCCACUCACGCUUUUGUAAUAUUUGGUCCUCAGGGGAACCUCGCUUGUAAUAACAUUAGCUAAUAUCGAUGAUUUCACUCCAUGGUUUCUCAGGAUUAGGUCAUUAGAGCAAAAGAUAAAUGGCUCCCAAAAAGAGAGAGCGGAAGACAACAAGAAACCAGUGGCAUGAUUAUCUACCCCCAUGAAAUUCUUGAUCUUUAAUAUGUAGUAUAUUCUCUCUCUUUUUUUCGGCUGAAAUAUGUAAGUAUAUUCAGGUGAGGACCCCCCUCCCCCCUUCCACCUCCGACAUGGUGGCCAACCUUAAAAAGGCGAGUUGGUGUCAUCGUUUGCUUCUCGUGUAUCACAUCAUCACCAUGCGAAUAGACACAUUUCUAUUUAGAAAAAGAGGUUUAUAUGUGUGCUAAUCGCCAGGUGCCAUUCUGGAGUCACCUAACUUUUCUGCCUCGCGCGAGGCCAAACGUGGGGCGACGUGAGGAGCACGACGACAAGCGUUGACCCCAACGAGGCUGAGCCAGAACCUGUCGGGGACGACACUAAAAGCGACAACGAGUUGCGAAGCCCCAAGCGAAGGCGAGGAAGCGGGUCGUGGAGGUGCAGAGAUGGUCACAGACGGCGGUGGGGGAAGGUUGACGGGAGGGCGGGGCCGUCAGGCGGAGGUGCACGACAACGUCCAUCGGCCGUGGGGAGUGGAUGUGGGGCAGAUUGGGGCAUGCGGAAGGGAGAAGAAGAUAACCCGUUGGAUCCAAUGGCCCAGAAAAUCGACCCAACAUGGAAUUUUUUUGAGGCGUUUUCCUUCUCAAAACAUGUAGGUGCCCUUCAAGGUGGCCAAGUGCACCCCCACAUUAUCCUACACCUUCCAAAUUUUAGGCAUGUCUUCUCCAGUUGUACUCUUUCCGUUCUGAAUUACUCGUCGCAGAAAUGGAUGUAUCUAGAUGUAUUUUAGUUCUAGAUACAUCCAUUCCUGAGACGAGUAAUUUGGAACGGAGGGAGUAGCAUCUUGGAAGGCUCAGAUCCCACUAAAACAGCUCUAAAAUUACCACGACCCCCACCGGCAAUAUUCAGUCAAACGAGGCCGCAUCAACCGUUGCCUCGACCAAUGGGCCGUUGACCAUCCCAUCCCAUCGCCCUCGCCUGCAACAGAUCUACGGCAGCUCAGGUGUCAGAGAGGAGCCUCUGCGUUUUUGGACGGCCGGGGAAUCCAGCGCCCCAGCAUGUCCAUGGACUCGACCCCAUCAUCCUUCUCCAACUGGGCGUGGACGGAGAGAGGCGUUGUACGGACCGACCCAUUCACACCGGAACAUGCAUUCAUACGGCCGGUGAGCCUAGUGCAUACAUGUGAUCAACUCCGCCUAAUAAUGCUUCCACCGGCUAAGCAAUGAUAUUAUAUAUGCUUUCAGCUCCGCCAGCUCGUGAUUGCGCUAAUCAUUUCGGCGGUUGGCGAUGGCCAUUGACUUGCUCGAAUAGCUCUGGCAGUACUGUACGGUCCUCUCAGAUUUCGGGAUCUACCGCCGGGCAUCGUCGCCGGUCUAACCUAAUUUGAUAAUAAUUUCAGUCUCACCGACUGCGGUGGUUUGGGUUGAUGCCCGACUAAACAUACCCAUCCGGUGGUUAAAGGUGGAAAAUGUCUCUUGCCAAGGGGUUCGUUGCAUUGCAUCGUCGAUGAUUGUGGAGGGAAGUAGGUUGCCGGUGAUAAUCGUACUGCGUGUUUUGGUUCACUGCCUGCCGGGCUAAUCAUUUGGUUGGUAAGAUCGAUCGAUUGCUUGCCCAGUUGCCCUCACGACGUGCGACAGGCAACCAAACGGCCGGAACAAAAUCGACCGUCGAUCAUCUGCGCCGCAACGGCAGAAUCUCUGAUAUUUUUCUUCUACUUCGUUCGUUGCAGCAAGGUUUUGUCUCUUCGAUCAGUUGUCCUGUUGUUCAUCGCUAAUCAUUACAGCUCGAUCCAUGGAUCUAUUCGCCAAAGCUCAAAGUUAAAAUACUUACCAGAAGGCAGGGUACGUGAAAGCAUCGCAUUUCCUUAAACCCCAAGCAGCAGCUACUCCAGGAAGUAACAUGACGCACGCUCACUUCAUGACAAGUGGACUCUGUCUCUUAGUGACUUGGUCGCAGGCCUGCCGAGAUCCCAAAUGUACACAGUGUGUUCCGCAUUUGCAAACUAGUCGCAAAUUGCAGCGAGGCGGCACGUGAAAUACUUGAAGCUCCAAGUAAGAUAUGCGCACCCUCUGUACGCGCAGUUGCACCCCUAAUUAGACCGCAAUUAACAAACCAAGCAGAACACAAUUAUAAAUUUAUAAUGGCGCCAAGUACAAGUGGCUGUACUUUGAUCCGUCGAUUCGAUCUACCUCCAUCAUGUUGCUACACCAUCAUCCAGAGACUUCUUAAAUGUCUGAUUCAUUAGAGUUGCAACAUGCAGCUCACAACACAUACAGGCAUACAACACAAAUUAACGCAUAUACUUCUAAGAGUUAUCACGUAUGUGUAUACAAAAGAUGAAUUAGAUUACGCCUAGAUUAGCAUCGACGAUGCAGCUAUCUCUGUCACCCAUCCGGUCCACUGCAUGCUACUUGGACUUAAAUUAGUAUCAUAUGAUAAAACAGUGCUAAUUAUAAGGUCACAAGUGGGGCUUUGAAGGGAGUUUGUCUUCCUGAAAGCCAUUUGAAAUCCCGUUUGGCAUUACAGUGAUCUCUGCUGGCGAUGAGUAAAAUUGAUACUAUAAUGUGAUGGGAGUCCCGGUUUUGUGAUGGUAGGUUAGUACCGAACAUGGUGCAAUUUGCAAAGAACAUGGCGUAUAUGUGCUCCACUAGAUAGGACUAGGAGACACCUCGAUCGAUCUUAAAUUUUGAGAUCUACUAGUUGUUGUGGCCCUUUCAAACAAAUCCUCUCGUGAUGCGCAUGCACCAUGUAAAUUACUAGUUCCCGCAUCAACUUGGUUGAUCAUCUCUGUAAUGCAGUAGUUUUGUGACUGAACAUGAUGAAAUAAUUUGCAAGGAACAUGGUACUAUAUAUGUAACUCCACUAGACAUGUACUCUGUAAAUUACUAGUUCCUGCAUCAACUUGGUUAAUCAUCUCUGUAAAGUAGGGUUAGGACUAGCCUUAUCGACCUACUAUCUGCAAGCAACAAGUAAUUAACUCCAUCUUGUUCUGCAAGCAACAAGUAAUUAACUCCAUCUUAACAAGUUAAACCAGGUGUAAACAGCCCACUGCUUCCAGGGCCUUGGCCAAAGCUGAAGAGAUUCGCUGGUGGCGCGGGAGCCCGAAGUUUUGACCAGCAGCGCCUGCACUGCACGCCGAGGCCGGUGCGAUGCUGCGUGCAAAAACAGUAGCAUCGGGAGGCGCAAACCUGCGCCGCUUCUCAGAGCACUACUGAGUACUGACGGUCAGUACUCCCUCCAUUCCACAAUGUAGUGCUUCCUCUAUCCACGUGUUUUAACUUUGACCGUAAAUUUAACUACCAAGACCGAUUGCGGCGCGAGCAAAAAUUAUAUCAGUGAAUUCGUAUUUGAAAGAAGUUUUCAAUUAUAUAAUUUUUUCUCCCACCGCAGUUGGUCUUGUUGGUUAAAUUUAUGGUCAAAGUUGGACAUCGGGAAGCGCGGGCGUACUAUAUUUUGGAAUGGAGGGAGUAGUAAAAUUUAGUUAGGGCACACAGUCAAACCCUAGCUAGCUAGGCAUAGCCGGCCGGCCACCUCGCGCCGGUCGAGUCUUCCCCGUGCCGUACGUGGCCGGGUCAGGGUGGUUCGUUUUGUCGUCGACGACCAACGGUCAAUAGUAUAUCCAAUGAUACUUGACUUGGAAAAGUGGAGUCGUGACUUGGAAAAAUUGAGCACGCCAGAGAUGGAUGGAUGGUGCCGUGCGUCUGUCUUUGUCAAGAAUCAUGCAUGCAUGGCUUCUUGGCUCGAUUGGACCGGACUGUAUGCAUGCGAUGUCCGUUCCAGAUGAUGCAUUUUCCGAGAGGGAGGAGAGGACGCACUGUUUCCGGGAGAAGUGUCAGUCGUUGCUCUUGCUGUCUUGCACGAACGAGAGGGACAACAUCAGAAAGGGACACGCACGCGAGACAGUUGAAACUUGAAAGUCACGCCUAGCUAGCUUUUAGCUUUAGCUAGCCAGCCGGUGAAAGUUGAAUAUGCAUGUUAUCGACGACGACCCACGUAGCUAGCUAGGGUUCAGGUCUUGUUGCUUGUUGGAGAACUGUUGCUUGCCUGGAUGAGUGGUCGUCGUCGUGGAAGGUAGCUAGCUACGGCGCGCCGGAACUUACAUACGUAGGUGCGUCCUGCUGAAUGUUCAGCACAUCAAUCUUGUACCGUAGCUAGAGAUCGGUUCCUACUCACCUUUAGGAAUUGGGUAGACCGGUUGAGGUCAAGCCGGCCGUCAAGGAGAGAAAGCUAGCUCCCCGCAAAGAAAAAAAAAGGAGAUAUAGCUAGCUAGCUAGCGACACAAAGUACGUAUUGGAGUACUUUUCUGGACGAAGAAUGAGGCUGCGACAGGGCCCUAGGCUGCGACGGUGUCACUUGGAUCCAAGAGGAACGCUGUGCAUGCACAAGGGAGAGAGAGCGUAUUCCACUUUGACCAGCGCGCGUGUCUCUGACUGUCGCGCACGCUGCAUGCAUAGACGUCCGCGCGCGUGCUCGCUUGCUCUGCCAAAGUACCUCGGCGAAGGAAUGGAUCGCGUUCUCUUCUUCCGUGGGCUAUAACGUCUCACCUUGAGAUAAUAACCAAAACCACAGUUAAGAUACAUCGCCGUCAGUCAGUAUCGUCGGCUGGUUCUCGCUAGCAGCGGCGUGCUCUUACCGGUAUUCGGUUGCCCUUGAACGUUGGAACGGGACCUCAGCCUCACUCAACCAUGAUUAUGUAUAGUACUCCCUCCGUUUUAAAUUACUCGUCGUAGAAAUGGAUGUAUCUGGAACUAAAAUACAUUAAGAUACAUCCAUUUCUGCGAUAAGUAAUUCGAAACGGAGGGAGUACUAGUCUAGUCAAUCAAUCAUCUUUGUUGUUCCUCGUGCUCUCGCAGAAGGCCUUUCUCCCCCAGGCCGCACGCCGUGGCCCACCCCCAGCCAGCCGCCGAGAAGGGGAACCCUUUCCCCUUUCGCCGUACAAAGCCCCACACACCACCGGGGAACAUCACCUUAAAAAAACAUCUGUAACUUUAUUCAUACUAAUAACAAUUACAGGUACACCACCUAUGAGAAGAUCAGGCUAUCUCUCACCUGUACGAGAAAUAUGGCCCGACCCGUUAUCCUUUUCCCUUUUUCUUCAUUUACUCAUCGGUUUCCUUCGAUUUUCUCUUUGUCAUACCUUUUUUUUCUUUGUUUUUCACCGGUUUUCUUUGGUAUUUCUUUCUUUGUCAUAUGUUUUCUUCUUUCUUCGUUCUCUUCGUCGUUCGGGAUUUUCUUUGCCUUUCUAUUUGUUUCUUUGUCGGUUUUAAUGGGUAUUUUUCUUCCAACACAUGUCUACUUUUCAUGGGCACAUAAUAUACAUUUUUUGAGACACUAUGGACGUUUUCAAAUUUAGGAUGUACAUUAUUUGAAGAAAUACAUGUUUUGAACACUUUUUUGAAUACAUCCUGGUAACAUAUUUUCCAAAUGAACGUCACACAUUUUUUAAAAUGUCAGUAAACAGUUUUUACAACCAUGUGAACAUUUCUUUACAUUGUAUAAAUAUUUCUCAAAAUUUCACAGGAAUUUUUUGGUGACACAUUAAUAUUUCUUUAAAAUUACACAAUAUAUUUUUGAGUGGAAAUAAUAAAACAAAUUGACCCACAACAAUUUUUUUUACAUUUUUAUAUAACUAUUUUUAAAAUUUUAGGAAUAUAAUUUGAAAUACGGGAAUAUUUCCAUCAAAUGUGGCAUACAAUUUUUCACAUUACUCGAACAUUGUUUUUUGCCAUGUGUACAAUUUUUUAUAUAAAAUGCAUACACUUUUUUUUGAAAUUCCAGAACAAUUUUUCAUUGUCACGAACAUUUUUUUUGAAACUUGACAAAAUUUUCAAAACUGAACUAACAUUUUUUAUACUAUUUUAAUAUUUUACCAAAUUUGUGUUUUAAAAUUUCAUAAGUAAAUUAAAGCUUUUUUAAAUCAGAUGCAUUUAAUUUAAAACAUAAAUAAAAAAUAGGAAAAAGUAGCAUUUGGGUGACAUCAGCAUGACAUUUGAAGGAUGCAUGACGUCAUACAGGGCCAGCCCACCACAUAUGCACUGUAGGCGAGGUGCCCGUGCGCUUCAGAAUAGGCGGCACAUAGCCACUCGAAACGGCACCAACAAUUUUGUAUAUAGGUAGAGCCACCUCAUAUCCUUACCUGUCCCGUGUGAGUUUACCCAUCAUCUAUACCCAUAUCUAUCAGCGGGUACAAUUUUUUUUCAUAUAUGUCACCCGAUAGGGUAAACGGGUACCCGCGGGUAAAAAUACUCAUGUCCGCAAAACAACAAUUCAUGCAUCAUUUAGUACUAAACAACAACAUGUAAUCAUAUUAUGUAAACUAUAACACGUACUUUUAAACAACAAGACACCAUAAAGAACAACAUGUUCUAUAAACAAGGUCACUUUCUUGUAAACAACAUCACAUAGUCAUAAACAAUAGUACAUGGACAUACUUUUGAAAUUUAUAUAGUCAUGAUUAAGUGUAGAGAUAAUUUUUCUAUAUUCGUCACAUUUUAUACCGGUACAUGAACAUGAGUAUGCAUGUAUGGGUUAUACGAACCCAUACCCAUACCCGCUCUACCUGAUGGGUUUUAGAUGUUUCUAUCCAUAUACCGAUGGUAACUUUUUGUCUCAUACUCUUACCGUAAUAGGGUUUUUACCGGUGGGUACAUGGGUAAUGGGUACACAUUGCCAUCUCAGGCCCACACUCCGCGCAGAUGGUCUGUGUCGUAGUGGUCUUGCCCUGGACUUACCGUUUAGUCUUGCUUGCUUCAAAAGCGAAAUCAUUUAAACCCAACACAUUAUAACUGCGUUUAGAUAGCCCACUUCACCACUAGAUUGUGCCCUUCUCCGCCUUGCCUAGCCGGGUUUUUUCCUACCAUGUCAACGCACAAAAAACAAAAAACACUAGCUCGCGGCCGAGCGGGCGUGCAUUUUUUUGGACAAAGUUGGUGUGCAGCUGGAGGGAGCGGGGGAGCGAAGUCGCGCUGCUGGGCGCGGGUGAGCGGUAGUUGGUUCUGCGGGUGAGCAGAAGGCGCCGUAUAGGAGCGCCCCAACAGGAAGGCUCGUCGUAUCGAGAGUCGUUGUGGUCUAUCGCUCACGGCGAGCGCUAAGCACGUGUCCCUCUUGCUAGAUGGGCCUGGGCGAGUGAGCGAGAGGACACCUUUUUUUUGUUUUUUCUCAUAUCUUUUUAUUUUUGGUAGGUUUAUUUAUAAUUUCAAGAAUCGCAAAUACAAACCUAAAAGUUAUGAAAUAAAAAAAAUCAUGCAUAUUCAACAAAUGUUUGUGAGUUAAAAACAAACCAAAUUCAAAAAAAAGUUCUCCAACAAAGAACAUUUGCAAAUUCAAAAUUUACCAGGGAUUUCAGAAAUCAUUGAGAAUUAAAAAAACUAAAGUAAUAAAAAAGUUUAUGAAUUUGAAAAUUAUUUGUGAAUUCAAAAAUUUCUCAUGCACUUGUAAAAAAUCUUCGUGAAUUCGGAAAAUUUUCGUCAAUUAAAAAACUGUUGGUGGCUUUGGGAUUUUUUCGAGGAACUUAUAAAUAAAUCAGGAAUUAGAAAAUUAUUCCAGGAUAUGUAUUUUUUUUUACCAUUUUAAUAAUGUUUAUGAAACAAAAAAUAUUCGCAAUUCCAACAAAGUUUGGGAAAUUGAAUAAAUGUUUGUCAAUUCAAAAAACUUUUGCGAUUUGGACAAAUGCUCAUAAAUUCAAAAUAUGUUUGUGGAUUCAAAAGAAAAAUCAUGCAUUCAAAAGAAAUAACAAAGUCAAAAUAAGUUCACAAAUUUGAAAAAUGUUAAUGAAUUUUAAAUAUUUCGCAAAUUGAAAAAUUCAGAAUGUGAAAACUAUUCGUGAAUACAAAGAUUGUUUGUAGUUUAGAACAAUGUUUACAAAUUCAAAAAAAUGGUCAAGGAUUCAAUAAAUUGUUCUCUGUCAUAUUUUGUGGACUGUGAAUAAAUUUUGAAAUUUUUGACCGAUUUCUAAAAAUCUGAACAUAUUGGGAAAACAAGAACCUUUUUUCAUGAAAUGUAAACUAUUUCUGGAACCCAAAUCAUUUUUUGGAAAGCGAACAAUUUAUGAAAAAUUGAACAACUUUUGAAGGUUUUGAACAUUCUUAGAAAAGACCUGAACAAUUUUAGAAAAUCCUGAACAUUAAAAUACAAUUUAUAACAUUAUGAACGUUUUUGAAAUUUAAGAAUUGGAAAACCAAAAAAACCGAAAAAGAGAAAAAGGAAGAAGAACAAAAGAUAAAAAAAUAUAAACAAAUACAAAAAACAGAAAAUUAGGAAUAAUUAGGAAACUUCUAUAACUGGCUAGGAACCAUCCAAAUUCCUAAUAACGGAUGCACACUCACUUCACUAGAUCUCUGAUGGGUCAGCCCAUAUUCUUAUCAUAGUGGGUGAUGGGAGCCUUAACAAUUGCUACGAGGGAUCAAUAGCGUUGUGCGUUGGGGGUCCUUUGUAAUACCCAACGCACAAACAUGGACAACUUUCUUAAUGAUUGAUAUUCAUGAACACUUUCUGCUCAGACUUGUGUUAGUUAAAGACCCCUAGCUUGCCAAUAAGCCUGGUUACUACUAUCACUUUCUUAUUUCUCUGUUUUCGUAGCAUGAGAAGUACUUUGUUCAGCCUGAGACAUUUUUUUUGAAAUUCUGAACAUUAAAAAAACGCAAAUGGUUUUAUAUUUUUUUUGCAUUUUUUGAAUUCAUGAAUAAAAUAUGAAACAGAAACAAAAUUUGAAAAUGUUUUAAAAAACACUUUUUUUAAGUUUCCAAACAUUUUUAGAAAACAAGACAUUUUUUGAAAAAAAAAUAAAAUAAACUAAAAGGUAAAAAUAAAACAACAAAUUAAAUAAAUAAAAGAGAAACAAAAACGCAAAGAAAUCAGAAAAACGAAAAAAGAAAAUAAAAAAAUCGGUUGAACCUUCUAAAAGGUUCCCAAAAUUUACUGGCUCGCUGUGGCUAAAUGGGCCGGCCUAUUUGUCGCGCUGGGUGAGUCCGCUUGUGCGCUGGACAUUUUACCGCAGAGAGCGUCAAAUAGGGUUUUCCUGUGGGUCAUGUCUGCUGUUUCGUUUCAGUGAAUCCCGCGCUUCAUUUUGAUUGAUGGCAACGACGAUGUACUUUCGAGGUCGAGCUGCACGGAGCCCUUUAUUCAUUUUUUUGGAUGAGAACUUUAUUUCCACUUCAUGAAAAAUUGUGAAAAAGUGUGCUUCUACAAAUACAUGUAUAGCUUGUAUGUAUGAAGUUACAUGAAGAUAUAUUUUCAUGUGUGGUGUUUGCAAAGAAGGUAAAUAUGUGUAUAAAAUUGUGUUUUUAUUAUUGUUUUGGGUUUAGGAUUUGACUUUUUUUGGAGUUAAAUACAUCACUGAUACAUGAACUUGUCAUAAAUGCUCACUUCAGUCCAUAAACUCAAAAAACUGAUUAUUUGAACUCACGAACUUGUCCAAUGUGUUCACUUUAGUUCAGAUUGCAAACGUGACAUGGUGAGGCGCAAGUUGAGGUCUUUUUUUGCUUGUUUCUAUCGACCUCAUGGGCCAAUCAGUAAAAGUAAGCACCUACUAGUGAAUAUAAAAUGGAGAACUAAACAAAAGAAAACUGUAGCACACUUACAAAAAAAAACGGUCCCUGUCCCACCUAGCAAUGGGUGAUUAGUUUAAACCGAAUUGACAAUACAAUGAAAUACCCCUCGGUGUUGCAAUCGUUUUCCUUUAUAAAGAAAUGCAUAUAAUAAAAUUUUAAGAAGGAAACGCACAUGUGAUUUAACCUAACCGCCAGCCGUGAUCCAAUCUCUCUUAUCCUCGCCAGGGUUAGCCAUCGGGCAACUCCCGCGGGACACCGAUGAUGGUGGGGAGGCCGCUACUCAUCGGGAGCCCGGUAGGAAGAAGUUGGUGGGCUGCUGUAGGACGGCGACGAUGAUGCAUGGUCAGGCUGCGGCUGGGCGGCGUUGGUGAUCCAGCACGGCGAUUAUUAAGCGGCAUGACCUUGCUAGGUAACUGGAAGAAGAGAAUGUCGGUGCAUCGUCCUGGACGGCGGGGAGGUCGACAUCUAAUUCGAACUUCGCGUACAACGACAUGGAUGAUUUUUUGCCCAGGCUUUCUUUAUGGAGUCAUCGAGUUUGGUUUGGGGCAGCGAGGUGGUGACAUUGUCAAUGUCUAGGAAUAAUGUUCUUCCCCCUUUUUCCUUGUUCAGUUGGUGUGUUUACCCCCAGCGGAGGGCAUGUGGAGCCAUGUCUCCGGUGGGUCUUUUGGGAUCCAGCCGGUUGAGGUUUCUGAUAGUUUCGUCUGGCAUUCAUGGUCUCCGGAGUUUUCUACAUGCCUUUAUCGACCUUUUCUUUUCUGGGGUGGCGAUUUGUUUGCAGAUCACGGCUGCCGACAUCUCCGAGUCUACAUAGACGACUUUCCCGAUCUCUGGGCACGGGAGUGUUUCUGUAUGGACCCUGGGUGGCGGACGCAUACGUGGUAGUGGCCCGGCCGCUCGUACCCCCUGAUUUGCCUUCGGUUCACGGAAUUUGAAUAACCGGACUGAUCCGUAGGCUGUAAGGUACUGUGUUGAUGACAAACUACGUCCAAACAGUUUUGUCCGACAUAUGCGUGCUUUUGAGGGUCUACCUGGGAGAUGCACCUAGCUAUGAGUUCACGAACAACAUGUACCGAUCGUAGAUUCGAAUUUUUGUCCAAAAGGACCACUUGUGGAACACAAUUGACAAAAAAGACUACAUUUGAAUCACAUUGGCAAAACAGACCAGUGAAGCUGUGGCGGCAGGUGCGCCAGCCGACACGUGGCACCUGCCGCCACCGGCUCAGGCGGCAGCACCUGCCGCACUGCCUCAGGCGGCAGCCGUCGUGCCACAGAUUUUCGUCAGUGCGACGGAACGGAGCAGCUCCUUUGGGACCUGCCGUCACCAUGCGAGGCGGCAGCUUCUGUUGCUGUUGCUCAUGUUUUGGCUAGCGUGGUGGCAGUGCUACCGUGGCUAUAGCUUGACUCCAUACCGAUGCAUGCAAAGAAUGCUGAUAGCUAGCCAGCGAACACACUCAGUCACAGACAUGCGCAUGCUUUCAUGUCAUGCAUAGAUAAUGCAUGCGCAGUCCCAUCACCCAUUUGAUAAAAUAGAGCAAACCUGGUGCUGGCAAAGGGUGCCGCCGCAGCAUGUGGCGGCAGGCCCCACGUCUUCCGUUUUCCGUUCCAAGGCAAAGCUUGUAGCUGUGCUGCUCAACAUGCCGCCUGCGACGAUGGCGGCAGGUGCUGCCGCCUGAUGCCACGUGUCGGCUGGCGCUCCCGCCGCCACGGUGAGCUAGUCUUUUUUGCCAUUUGAAUUUUAAGGUGGUCUUUUCUGUUAAUUCGAUUUGGCAGGUGGUUUUUUUAGACAAAAAUUCCGUAGAUUCCAUUUCCAUUUUGUUCGGUAGCACGCACGCUAAAAACAGCACCGUGAGUCCGUGGCCCCUCGCGCACAUGCAUGCAGCGUGUUGAGCUACAGGAACGUGUGUGGUCACGUCACUCACACAUUCCGCCGUUAUUGUCCUCCCGUCCCGUGUACCAGUACUUGUCUUGUUCGCAACCGCACCGGAUCGCAGCUCAGCACACGAACGAAACACGUAACUUAGGGCGUUUGUUUCCAAGGAUUUUUUAGAUAGGUAUUAGAAAAAGCCUCUCUUAAUUUUUUUAACUAAACAGAAAGACAACUAGAGACUAAAAAUUGCUUUUUAGGACUAAAUGAAGAAAACUCUUAGAGCAACUUCACUGGGGCGACCCAUUUCGUUCGUGGUUGUUCGUUUGGGUCCGCUUUCGUCCGCUUGCCGACCCAUUUCUUGCCCAUUUUUGAGCCUGAUUUGCGUCGGCGCGGACACAAGACGGACGCACGCGUGUUUGUCCUCUUUUCUCACCAAACCCGCUGGUCGGUAGCACAUUGGAUUCACACCCUCGCCCGCCUGCUACGUCGCCAAUGCCGCCGGCCAUUUUUCAGAUAAAAAUGGAUACAUAGAUAAUUCUAGCGUACACAGAUAAAAAGAAAAGACCACUACUCGUCGAUUUCUGAUUCUGACUCGGUAAUGUCCUCCUCCGACGUCUGAAUGUAGGCGUCAGCAUACGCCUCGUCUUCAAAAUCCCAACCCGCCGUUUCUCGUAGCUUCAGUUUCAAUUGAGCUGCCUGCUUCUGCGAACGCUUGUCCUCCCGAUAGGCGGCUCGCUCCCUCCUCCUCGCGCCCCUCUCCAAUCUCCUUUGCUUGUAGAACUGGCGCUCGUCGACGAUGUCCUGCAGAAAGCCUCCACGCCACACCACCAAGGCUUCCACGUCCUUCUCCGCGAUGGCGUGGCGACGCUGCCGCCUCUGGUGAACACGACGGUCCUCGUCGGUGAAAAGCCGCGGGAGAGGCGCCAGAUUCUGCGCCCGCUGUCUCGACACGUUGGGAAAAAUCAUAUCCCGACGAGGCCUCAGGAGGCGCCACGCCGCCGCGUCGUGCGCGCGGGCCGCCUCCUCUGCGGUGUCGAAGGUGCCGAGGAUGAGACGUUUCUCGCGAAACCAGAUCUUGGAGGAGAAGGCGCCGGGGCGGAGCUUGCGGACUCCGCGAAAAUCUGAAGCGCCCAGGCGGUGGAUCGACAUGGUGGCGCAGAGGCGGCGAGAGUGGGCGGCGGACAGAGUGUGGAGGGAGCGCCUUCUUUAUAACGAGCGCCGGCCGCGGCGCGCGCGCGAACCUUUCCCGCGCGCUGGAGCGCCAAAACCAGCGCGCUAGGCCUCUUUCCCCCGCGCGCUGGUGCGCCAAAACCAGGGCGACGACAUGAUCUAAAACGCGUGCGGUCACGCACUGCCGACCCAAAACUAAAAAAGGGCGGACUGCAGGCGGAUGGCCGACCCAAACGGACAAAAAACGGACAAAAACGCCGUCCGUUUGGGUCGGCCCGAAGAAGUCUUUUUUGGGACUUUUUAGAACUUUUCAACAAUGCUUCUCCAUGCACCCAUUGACCUGUCGCUCCAUGGUGUUGUUUGGUUGUUAUUUUUUUAUACUAGAGAUAACAUGGUCAUUUAUUAAUCUUUAGGGAGGAACUAGAGAUUUUUUAGUCUCUGAAAACAAACAGGAAAAGAUUUUUUAGGGACUAAAGACUUUUUAGUUGGGACUAAAAAAAGUAAUAGGACUUAUGAACCCUUAGUUCCGUACCGUCUUCCCGCAACGCAGAUCACUGUCGUCCGUUCAGAGAAUCGCAGCGGUUGGACGAACGUAGCUGUCACAGAUGUGUACACAAUCCAUCCGUCCGUCCGUGCGGGCGUGGACGGCGGCGAUCCCGUGAUCGACCACCAACAAAUCGCCAUCACACUAGCAGACCCACCUUGGCCUGACUGACAGCGCGACGACGGGGCCAGCCAGCCAGCCAGCCAGCCAGAGAUAAACAACUCACGCGCGCUCGAUCGAAGGCGGAAAGAAACAAACGCGCACACGCCACCUCACGCCGCCCCGCGCACACUGCGGCCGCGCCACUCGUACACGGCCACCACCACCUGCUAGGCGGCGAGCGGCGAGCGGCGAGAUCGGCGGCGGGCGGAGGAAUGGUGGCGCCCGCGGGAGGAGGGUCGCCGUCGCGGUGGCCGUCGGAGGAGGAGGUAAGGAAAGGCCCCCACCCCCACCCCCACCCACCCGCAUUGCCUGGAUGAUCGAUCGAGGGAGAGGCUGCCGCCUGUCGGCGCUCUCGAUCCCGCGGCCCCGUAAACUUGGGGAUGUUUGGGGAUUUAUCUAGGGUUCAAGCCUCGAAUCGCGGCCGCUCGUCCGCGUUUCCCCAUUUGUUUAGCCACGACUUGACGUCUGAAUUGCUUACNNNNNNNNNNNNNNNNNNNNNNNNNNNNNNNNNNNNNNNNNNNNNNNNNNNNNNNNNNNNNNNNNNNNNNNNNNNNNNNNNNNNNNNNNNNNNNNNNNNNNNNNNNNNNNNNNNNNNNNNNNNNNNNNNNNNNNNNNNNNNNNNNNNNNNNNNNNNNNNNNNNNNNNNNNNNNNNNNNNNNNNNNNNNNNNNNNNNNNNNNNNNNNNNNNNNNNNNNNNNNNNNNNNNNNNNNNNNNNNNNNNNNNNNNNNNNNNNNNNNNNNNNNNNNNNNNNNNNNNNNNNNNNNNNNNNNNNNNNNNNNNNNNNNNNNNNNNNNNNNNNNNNNNNNNNNNNAACGGAUUUAUAUGCGGUCGAUAGUAGCGGGGCACUGAUUGCUCGGAAUUAAUGUGGUACCGACGUAAUUUGCAGUGUGGUGGUUAUUUCUGAAUCAAUGCAGGGAUCUGCACUUGUUUUUCUGCUACGUGAUAAAUUGCUGACGUGGAUGGCUCAGUAGGACCACAAUCUGCUCUACUUUCUGAACGCCUGGAGAUUUUUGAGAUCGCAUCAGCUCAAGUUUUGCUAUAGCUAAUCAGACGAACGAAAUUUAGUUGUUUCAGUGACAUCCGCAUGACCUGGGAUGCAUUUUAGUUAUGUAAUUAUAUUGGUUAAAUUACAUGUUAGGGUCGGUUGCUUACUUAAGUUCUUCCUUAUUGAUGUGUAUGAGCCUCAGGUUUAUUUGUACUGUUUCUGGCUAUGCAGCUUGACAUUGUGCGGAAGAAUGUGGUCGAGAUUAGUGGAAGAGAUGCGAGAGAGGUUAGGGUGGUUGCUUGCCCCUACAGGAUUUGUCCUUUGGGGGCCCACAUUGAUCAUCAGGUAACUGCCAUUACUUGAUAACCGUUAAGUCAUGGUUGUACUUACUGUCGAUAUGCAAUAUAUCAUACUGCAGCACUGGAACUGAAAGCUAGAAUUCAGUUGUGCAUCCAGCUGUCCAGCAUGCCUUGCUAUCCACACAGCUUCGAUUGUAUACGAUGUGCUGCAAGUCAUAUUGUAGCUACAAGCCUAGAAAAUUGUUGGAUAAGAUGUGUGGACCAAGUGGUACCAGCAAUAUUGAUCGGCCUUGAUGUUUUUUAGGAUAAUAAUUAGCUAGCAGAUGGUAGCGUAUCUGGUUACUAGAUUUCCCCCCUGCAAAUGUUUGAAAGUUGCAGCAAUCUUUGUAAAGCAGAGCUAGCAAGUUAGACAUAAUGGCGAUAACUGGUUCUUGCCAAUAACUAGAAAUAUCAGUUUGGCCUUAUUUGGAAAGGUGUGAUAAGUCCAGAUAUUUCUUAUUAGGGCUGCAGCAUGAAUUAUUUCAGAGUUAUGAGUAGUAAGCUCCAGCAGCAUUGGUUUCGAUUUCAUGUUUAGUUUUACGCCAAGAAGGACAGUGUUUCAUAAUAAUAUUUAGAGGAAGGACAAAAUGAGUAUAAACUGCUGUUUUACCGAGUUAUGGUGGGAAUGACCCUGUUGUCAGCAGGUAACAUACCAAGUCAGUGCUGCCAACGAUUAACGGUACAGGGUCCAACUGACUGUAAACUAGUGCAAGCCUGCUUGGAAUAGCCAUUGUAGUAUCUUCCACUCCUGGACGAGUCAAUGGUGUUGCAUGAAUCUAGCAUUUCGCAAAUGGCUUUAUAGACAGCUAGUUCUUGUGAUUCGGGGUGCAUAAUACUCGUGAUUUUAUUCUGAUGAAAACUUGUCUAUUUUGCUGUAAGUUAGUUUUAUCUAUUUUGUUGUCUCUAGCAAUACGAGGAUCUGCUAACUGACUUGGAGUACCACUAUGACAAUCUCGUCUGCAAACUGGCAGGGCGGAAUAGUGACUGCUAUGACAAUCAAUUAUGGAGUACUUCUUGGCUUUGUGCCCUCUGAUGAUGCUGAGGUGGGUAAAUAUACUGAAGCGUUUUUUCUGUAGAUUAUCUGAUAUUCCAUUUAUUUUUUUGUGAGGACUCUGAUAUUGUAAUCGAACUAAUUGUUUUUGCCCAAAUAUCGAUUGCACCACCUUCUGAAUCCUGUUUCUUAAUCUAGUUUAUAUGUUUGCUAAAACCACCACAUGUGGAAAUCUGGUCUUCUUUCAAAUUAGUAGUUAUGCAUUCACACUCGUAUAAUCAAUUGUAUCACACUAUGGCAAUAGUGUUAUGCAUAUUUGCCAUUGGUAAACCUCCUUUCCUUUUUCAGGUUGUACUCCAGUCUGGUCAAUUUAAAGGCGUUACUCGAUUCAGGUAGGGCCAUACACAUCACAUCUCUUGAAAUACAGUUUGCACCCUAACAAAUAUCAAAUACUCUAGCCACGUGGGUCCACCGAGGAAAACUUUGAGCGCCGUCUCAUUGUUUUUUGUGAUGACUAAGUAUUAACCUGUAGUCACUUCAUUCUGUUACCUCUAGCUAGUUCGUGAUGAACACAUUACGUUGCUAGGAAAGAUCGCCCUAUUUUAUGAUAGCUGUUGUUUCUAUCCCUAAAUUCAGGUUCUGUUAAAUCUUCAAUGUGAGAGAGCUAAAGUCAGAACUUGCAUGCUCCAUCACUUUUAACAGAGUUGAUGACUUGCAAAAGCCUAUUGAGAACCGAGGAAACAUAACUUGGGAAAGCUAUGCAAGAGGUGCAGUUUAUGCCCUGCAAAAUAGUGGAUAUGAUCUCAGAAAGGUAUCUCCAUUUCAACCAUGUAACAGUCCAGAUUAUCCUAGGUUUCAGAAAACUGUUGACGAAUGGUUUCUUUACAGGGUAUAAUAGGUUAUAUUUCUGGAGUGAAUGGACUUGACAGUUCAGGGCUUAGUUCGUCUGCAGCUGUAAGCUAACUGAUAUGUUAUAUCUUAUAUGCAUUAUCAUGUGUUGAAAUCUAACAUUGAAUUAAUACAGGUCCUAGCUACAACUUUUUAUUAUGCUGUAAUUAUAGUUAAAACCUGAUGUAACUUUGCUAGCAUAUAGAUCAUGCACAACAACAUAUGUUCUUAACUUUUUCUAUGCCCCCAUCUGUACAUUAUUUUACUUGGAGUAAAUAACAGCUUUGUGCAAGAGCACAUAUUAAUAUACUUUUCUCUGUACAAUCCUCAUCAGGUUGGCAUUGCCUAUUUGCUGGCUUUAGAAAAUGUAAAUGAUCUGGUCUUAUCACCAGUUGAUAACAUUCAGUUGGACAAGUAAGUGUGUUUCCUUUCCAUCUCCAAUUCUCUAUACUCUAGGAAGGACCAAAGUAGUUUCAACCCCCCAGUAUGUUUGUUGAACUUGCUGUUGCUAAACAUGGAAUGACCUAGAACAAUGUGCAUCCUGUUUGUCAGGUCCAUUGAAAAUAAAUAUUUGGGUCUUGAAAAUGGCAUUCUAGAUCCAUCAGCCAUUUUAUUGUCUCGAUACAGCUACCUCACCUUCAUGGAUUGCAAGGUAACACUUCGCUUUUAUUUUUUCUCAAAGUUUAUUACUCCCUCCGAUCCAAAUUAAUUGACGCAGCCUCUAUACAUUAAUUCGGAUCGGAGGGAGUAUGUUUAUUUGUCCAGCCAGCAUGAUUGAUUUUUUUUUUUAACAUCCUAGGCUGUUGUUAUGAUAUUAGAAAAAGUGCUUUUUCACCCGCAAAAAAAAGUGCCUUUAAGUUCAAAUUUUUGAUCGAACUGCUGUAUUGGGGCUAUUCAAACAUGUCAACUCGCCCUAGCAUCCCUUUCCUUAUUUUGUGUCGUUCACGCCCAGAUUUUGCUGGGAAAUGUUAAUUGCAGUGUUGUCUGUUAGUAUUUUUGUAGUGACUGAGACUCGAUUUUGUAGACUGCCUCACCUUCCUACGUCUACUUCUCGGAACUAAGUAAAAGCCAGCAACCUCAAGGUCGGCUGCCAUUCAAGAUUUUGUUGGCAUUUUCAGGUUUGCAACAUAACCUACCCAAGUCGCGUGGGUAUAAUAUGCGAGUCUUCGAGUGCAAAGAGGCUGCACGUGCUCUUUUAUGGUGAGUUCCAUGAUUGGGUUUUUCAGUUUAGUCAUGCAAACAGAUGGCAUGUUCAAUUUUAAAGAACUGAAGUUCAUGAUCCCUGUGCAGUCUCUGUUAGUAGCUUCCUUUCUCAUAUAACAUAACAAAAGUUUAAUCAUCAUUCGCUAUUUGAAUUCCCAGUGCGUCAGGCUCUGAAGAUGCACCAAUACUUCGUAAAGGUAAAAUAUCUAAUUAACAUUGGUUCGUUGUGACCCAUUAGUCAAAUCUAACAAGUCUGAUAUCACCUUUCCUGUUAUUGCAGUUGAUCCAGGUGUAUAUGAGGCCCAAAAGGUACCCUGCCAAAUCCAGCUCCAUUUCCUAGAUAUCUUAUUACUGGUACCAGACCUUGAAUCUAGCGCAUUUUGACAAUAACAUUUCGUGCAGUGUAUAUUAGAUGAAAAUCUUGCCAAGAGAGCUGAGCACUAUUUCUCUGAAAUGAAGCGAGUUGUUAAGGGUAAGCUUAUCAUAUGUUUCAUGUACGCCCUUCAAUGUAUUUGAUUCUGCAACUUGAAUUCCUCCUUGACAAGUUUCCAUGCACGGGGAUAUCAAAUCCAUUUUUUUUAUCAGAGGAAUAUUAAAUACAUGGUUCUCCAUAUUUGUACUACUCAUUGCAUGUCCAAAAAAAGAACCAGCGUUUCUCGACCUUUUUGUUCAGCAUGCAUGAACUGUAUGUUAGCAGUACCUUGUAUUCUUCAUGAAAAUACUAGGGUUGCAUCUAUCUCAUUCUAUGCACGUCCAAAAGAAACAGGUGGUUUACCGGAUAUUUCUGAUUCACCAUAUGUACUAGUAUUUGACUGGACCUGCUAGACAGAAGGUUUCAGACUUUUUCGAUAAAAAGAAGGUUACAGACUUGCAGUUAACAUUUGACGGUCCACUGACUCUGUCGUAUCUCCACUGAAGUUUCAACUAAUAGUUUCCUUCUGGUUAAUCUGUGUUCAGGAAGAGAGGCAUGGGCUCGUGGAGACCUACAAGAAUUCGGACAGCUGGUCUCUGCAUCUGGCCGCAGCUCCAUAGUCAACUACGAAUGCGGUAUGUCCAUUGCAACACUUCAGGAUCCACUGUGACAUUCAGUUUCAGGUCACAAUGCUUUUACAUGUCGCUAGCAGUCCUUGACAGAAGGAACAAUACUACAGUACUAUUUGACGGAAUUCCCAAACCGCAGGGAGCAAAGAGAUGAUACAGCUGUACGAGAUCCUCCUGAAGGCGCCAGGGGUCCUCGGCGCGCGGUUCAGCGGCGCUGGCUUCAGAGGCUGCUGCCUCGCCAUCGUCGAAAGCGACCACGCGGAGGAGGCCGCGGCGUACGUUGGCGCCGAGUACGAGAGGGCCCAGCCAGAGCUGGUGAGCAAGAUCCCCGCGGAUCGUCGCGUGCUGGUCUGCGAGCCCGGGGACUCCGCGCGCGUCAUAUUGCAGUCAUGAGCUUCCUGUUGGUCGGGACUUUGUGAAGGUGAGAAGGCCGACAAGUUUUAGACAUUUAUAUAGUUCUAUAAGAUGAGACUAGCGCUGUUGUGUAUGAACUGAACUCAGUCGAGCUCCCAGAUAGCUCAUCUGUGUAUGUGUGGAACCAUUUGAUUCAUUCGUUUCCACGUAAGCAAUAAGCAGUAAUGCAAAGGCUCUCUCUCUCUCAAAGGUGUAAUGCUGCUAGUGGUAAAGGAUGAUAAGAUAGGCAGAGUCUAAUUAUAAACAAGACAAAUGGUUUAUCGCUUCCACCAAAAUGCCAAGCAUAGUCGAGUAUUUUAUACUCGAUCGUCCCUUUUAUAUAUCUUUCAGUUCUGUUUUUCCGCAGACGAGAGAGUUUUAUGGAUGAACUAAAAGUUCAUUACAAUCGUUCAAGAGCAGUUCUGACACACAGACACACAAUACUCCUACCAUCCGAACUCAAGUUGGGAGAAAGAUUAGGCAAAAGAAGUUGACCAGGUUGCCACACCUGUCCAGUGCUGAUUGAUCAGUUAGCGCAGGUGAUGAAACAAACCAAGCGAGUGGUGCAGUACGGCAUAGUGCUGAUUGAUCAGUUAGCGCAGGUGAUGAAACAAACCAAGCGAGUGGUGCAGUACGGCAUAGUCCUACGGACGGUGGCGGUCCGUACUCAUUUGGAGUUAACAAAUCACAUUAUUGCGCCUCGGAUAACACUAAAUCAUACAGAGCGAACAAUAAAUAGCGACGAAUCCGGUGCAGCAGGGGGCUGACUAGCUGAGGGGAGGUGGACACAUGUACGGACGGCGCCCGGCUGACCGUGGUGUCCCUUCAAGCCCAGAAAGGAUUCGAAGGGUAUCAUUACACACAUAUACUACUACUCCUUAACCAAUAAACCAUGCACAUUGAUGGAUGAUUAGUUCGGCAGGGGCAGCCAUGUUCUCGCGCCUCAUCUGGUUCAUGCACACAGGUGGCUGAUCACAGGCCAGCUGAAUCCAUUAAUCUGCUAGCUCGUCCUAAAUCAGAAGAAUGAAAAGUAGAUUGUGAAGUUCAAGUACGCAGGACGCCCAAUCGACCCAUUUUUUAGAGUUUGUCAGAAUCAUUUGAGCGUAUAGUUAGCCGAACGAAGAAGAAGCAUCAUGCAUAUACAUGCAACGCACUGGUUAGUUUGAUCAAUUCUUAUUCUACUUACACCCUCUGAUUCAAAAUAAGUGUCGCAGUUUUGUACUAACCCCAGUUCGAAAGCUGCGACACUUAUUUUAAAUUGGAGGUUGUAGUACUUAGUGAGGAGUCAGAGACCUCCUGCUGGUGGCUAAGAAAAGAAAAAAAAAUCCUAGGAAUCACAUGCGUAAACUCCUCAUUAAGAGUUUAGUCAUGUAGUAUGAAUUCAUAUAGUUGAUCUACACCUUCAGAGAAAAAAACCUCCACCUGUUACGAGACGAGCUCAUAGUUGGAGUCGGUUGAUUUGGAUGCCAUGAGGAGUGGGUGUACGGAACUACGGACCGCAUAUUUCGGCAAUCAUUAAGUCUGUGGCAGGUCAUACGUCGUACUACUACUAUACUAUGCAUAAUGUUCAGUUUAGUAUUCGAUUGAGUUGACUGAAAUUUGUAUACCUAGCCUAGUCAUAGGAGUGUUUGACAAAAAACAACCACAAUUAAGGUUCGCGUCCCACAGAACUACCACUUUAAAAAAAUGACUGAUAACUAUCAAAAAAUUGGAAUCUCGUGACUAAAAGCUGCCACUUUCGAAAAAUGGCCAGUUUAGAAGAUUUAAACGUGUUUAUGACAUGCGGGGCCCGUAUGUCAGGGCUGCAUGGCGGGAAAGUCAACUCCGUUUAUUUUUUACCGUUAAAUUGACCAUUAUGACAGGUGGGGCCACACGUCAGCAUCACCUCCUUCUUCCUCCUCAUCUCUCUCUCUCCAUCUCUCUCUUUGGAAUUUUAGCAAACACCUCAUGUGCACCUUUGCCGCGGUGGAAGACCUGCCGGACCUUCCUCUCUCCGCUGGCGAGCUCCUCAGCCCCGUCGCCCCUUGCCAUCUCUCCUUUCCCUUCCUCCCUACCUUCGCUUCUCACGUGCACGAGCUCCCCUGCCAUGGCGCCUCGGCCUCUGCUUCGUCCACCGCCUGCCAUGGUCGGCCCCAAGCGCCUCCUCCCUGCCUCGCCUACAGUCCUCCUGCAUCUCCUCCGCGACCCCUUCCUGAUGUCAGGGCCGAGCUGCUUGCCUCCCUUGCCAUCCGCCACCAUCGCCUCCCUCCUGUCGUUGAUGUGCUGCUGGCCCUCGCUGUCGAGUGCGUCGUCGGUGGCCUCCUCCUUGCCCCGGGCUCCAUCCAGCUCCGUCGCCUCCCAGCGUCCUCCUGCCCGCGCUGCCCCUAUGGCUUUCCCGAGGCCAUCACCGACCACCACCCCGUGACGCUCGGCCUCUGGACUACCACCACUAACGCAAGUACGUGAGUAACGGCGCCGGCGACUCGGCGGCGGCCAGGUCGCGCGCCAGGCGGCAACAGCUCGCCGGUGUGCUCCAGUCCAAAGAGCUACCGCCGGUGUGCUACUCUACUGCUGGUAAGGUGUUUGUUGAAAUGCCAAAGAGAGAGAGGAGGAAGAAGGUGAUGCUGACGUGUGGGGUCCACCUGUCUUAACGGUCAAUUUAACGGUCCGCAAUAACAGAGUUGACUUUCCCGCCACGUCAGCCCUGACAAACAGGCCUCACAUGUUAUAAACGCGUUUAAAUCGUCUUAACUGGUCAUUUUUCGAAAGUGGUAGUUUUUAGUCACGAGAUUUCAUUUUUUUGAUAGUUAUCAGUCAUUUUUUUCAAAGUGGUAGUUCUGUGGGACACGAAUCCUAAUUGUGGUAGUUUUUUGUCAAACACUCUAGUCAUAGUGUCAAGGCCACAGCUUUAACUUAAGUCACUGUGCCUUCCGAAGCCUUGGAAAAGGCCUUGGGACUUCCUAAUUAACCGGUGGCCCACCUGCUAAAUUCUUUGUUCAGGAAGCCAUGUAUGAUAGCAAAAUGAGUAAAGCAUGAAUAACUACUGACAGGAUAAUGCGCCUUUUGGGAAACUACCGUGGGAUGAGACAUGAUGAUCAUCACCUGCUCAAUCAUUCACCAUGCCUACCAAUUUCAGAUCCCAGAGGUGUCGAAAUCAUAUUGGCUUUGGCUUCCAUGGUCACCUCAAAUCUCUGGACAAGUUUGGACCUAGUACCAGAAAAGGAUGUCUCCAACUGGCUAAAUUUCAACAGGGCACUCAUGGGUACAUAUACUCCCGCCCUCAGUUCUUCAUAGUACUACUAAUUCACUCAAUCAUUACCAGUAUAUAUAUACGUAUGAGAUACGACGAUCUAUGAUAGAUGUUAAUCAGUGUAUAUAUUGUGUAUAGAACUUAACUGCCACAGCUAUAUUUUGGAGGAACAACUGACACAAUUAUUGGGCAUAGAAAAUGGCAGACAAGUCGUGCGCUUCAUCCGCCCGGUCCAGACGCGGAGUGCAUGUCGCUUUGAACCGAUGAUUAGGGUUUUAUAAUCCUCUUUGUCAUGGCUAACGCAAAGAAAGGUAAAUCUACUAUAGACUAGCUAGCAAUGGCUACUCCGACCAAUAACGUAUAUACUUGGCUAGCUGGACGCUCGUUGUGUGGCUAGAGGUGUGGUGUUCCAAUUCCAAUGGAUUAACCAUUGUGUGUAGCUUGGUUUAAUUAUGUGGCUCUGGUUAUUUUAUGAGAAUUUGGUCAAGCGAUGAUUCACUUGCGGACUCUAGCUUAAAGAUGAUUGCGCACAUUUUUUUUAUCGAAAUGGUCAUUGAAUUUGUUUCUUGUAAAUCGAGCCAACUUGAUCUUGAAUUGAAGACACUCGUAUGGUUUCUUAAAUGGAAUCGGGGUGAAAAGCCCUUUUGCUCAAAAAAAUAAAAAUUACUUAGCUUGUAUACUAAUCAGUUAACUACCCGUAUACAAACAUGCGAUGAUAGAUAGCUGUGGGCAAUUAGUAUAUACUUGUAUAUACCUUAGCAACUCCAACACACAAAAUGACCAAACGAUCCAGUGCCGUUUCAGAAAUAGUAGAAUAGAUAAGUUAGCAAAUUCUUUAUGGCAAUAAUUGCUGGGAUAGUCAAUCAUUUUCAGAUCUAGCACUGAAAAGAAGGGCCGGUCGCCUAUGCGUCAUGGGUGGACUGAUUGGAGUAGAACCACAUGGACACUCAUCCUGCAAACCUAUGGAUCAGAUUCUUCUAUGCAAUCAUGCGAUUAACAUACUACUGAUGUGUAUUGGUCGUAGGUAUAUCCAUUUCAUUAUGUUUGACCACCCAAGCUUAAUAAGACACACAAAAAAGAAAGCACUUGUCAUUGUGAAACAUCCUCAGUUGAGGCAUCACCUGCCAUUUACUCCCUCAGUCCCAAAAUUCUUGUCUUAGAUUUGUCUUGAUACAAAUGUACCUAAAACUAAAAUCUAAGACAAGAAUUUUGGAACAGAGGAGUAUAUGUCUUGCUUUGACACGGAGCUUGAGACUUUUUAUGUUUUGGUAUUGUGCAUCUUAGGAUGCAGGGGAUAAAACACUUGUGUGGUGUGGUGGUACCAUCUUGAUAAAGACGAUGUGAUUAAUUAAAGUUCCCAAUAUAAAUGCAAAAAUUGACUGUUAUGUACUCUUAAAUCUAGAGGAUUGAAAAGUACAUAAAUUAACAUAAGAAAUACUGGACACACCACAGAAACAAAUAAUUAUAAAAGGAGGUUUGAGCUGAUGGUAACAUCCCUACAAAAUAGAGUGCAAAACUAAUAAUUCUUAGGAAAGACAUCUUUAAAAUUUCUAUCUCCGAAUCAAAUGACUCGGAAGCGUCGAACAAAAACUUUCCAUCCGUGUCCACCCCCAAGCCGUGCCCAGGCCGCGCCCGCCCCAGGCCACGGCCGGCCCGGCCUCACCGCCGAGCUCGAGCAGAGCAGCAUGAGCCCCGAGCUCCACCGGCGCCGUCCUCGACUGGUGCUUCCACCGCCUGCUGGUGCAGCGCGCCACUGCCACCUCCGGCUACGACCCAUCCCUGCUCUGCGGCGUCUCCUUCAAGGUCGAGGACAGCGACGCCGACCGCCCCGCACGCGUCGUCUAGCCCGUGCCCCCCGACGAGCCCUCCGUGCUUCACUUGAAUGAGAGCCUCGCCUUCGAGCCUGUCGCCUCCCGCGACGGCCUCGUCGUGCUCCGCCGGCGCCCCCGCCCGCUCUUCAGGCAGUCCAUCGAGGAGGGGUGAGUCCAGGGCAGUCGGUCUUCANNNNNNNNNNNNNNNNNNNNNNNNNNNNNNNNNNNNNNNNNNNNNNNNNNNNNNNNNNNNNNNNNNNNNNNNNNNNNNNNNNNNNNNNNNNNNNNNNNNNNNNNNNNNNNNNNNNNNNNNNNNNNNNNNNNNNNNNNNNNNNNNNNNNNNNNNNNNNNNNNNNNNNNNNNNNNNNNNNNNNNNNNNNNNNNNNNNNNNNNNNNNNNNNNNNNNNNNNNNNNNNNNNNNNNNNNNNNNNNNNNNNNNNNNNNNNNNNNNNNNNNNNNNNNNNNNNNNNNNNNNNNNNNNNNNNNNNNNNNNNNNNNNNNNNNNNNNNNNNNNNNNNNNNNNGGCAGUGGCGCAAGGCGCGAGUGGCAGAGGGGGCGGGGUUCGGGCAUGCUCGGGUCGCGAACGGGGCGUUGUAGCGAGCGACGAUGGGGUGUGGCGGCGAGCUCGGUGGGGCGGGGCGGGGCGUCUCCGGGUCCUCGGCGCCGGCGCCCCUGGCCGUCCUCGACGACUUCGACCGUGUCAUGGCCAACGCAGUGGCCGCCGUCAAGCACGCCGCGCGCGUCAUGGUGCCGCGGCUGCAUCCUCUGCACGGGGAGCACCACGGGGGUGAUGGGCGGGGUCGUGACGCUCCCCUCCAGCCUCUCGAAGGCGACAGUGAGCGUGGUGCGGAUGGUGGCGGAGGAGCUGGCGCGCGACGGUGUGCGCGUCAACGCCAUCUCGCCGCACACCAUGCUACACCGCUGCUGGUCCGGUUGCUGGCGAGGGCGCCCCCGGGCUAGGCGCUGCCCGCAUGCGGGCGCGCGGCCGAGGAGGACGCCGUCGAGCUCGCCAAGAUGCACUGCGCGGACUCCUCCAGCACUGUUCCGCCCCGGGCGGACGCACUUCGUGCUCGAGAGAGAGGGACAGGGGAGAGGAGAGAUGAAAAGAGAGGAGAGAGGUUGUGGGAGGCCGAUGGUGGGCCAAGCGCAAGAAAAAGGCAUCGCCGACAUGCCCAGCUGCUCCCCGGGGGGCUGGGUUUGGGGUGGGACUGCCGGCAUCAAUUUUCUCUAAAUCCGGCGAAAACUGAGGCUUUGGAGCGCGAGUGGGAGGAUAUUUUACUGCUGACGCCGAAAAAGUGGCCGUGGGGGGCGUCUUGGAGGGCCGGCUGGAGAUGCUUUAAGAAAAACGCUUUGGGUGGUUUUACAACGAAGCCUCUAUUGCAGAGUGAAUAUCGUAACAAUCAGCUUGUUGAAAUUCAGGACACACACGUUUGGAAAGA